RNAcentral lists this long non-coding RNA (57794 nucleotides) under Lotus japonicus. Its description in RNAcentral is "long non-coding RNA (LJAP_LNC002262)". Lineage: Eukaryota; Viridiplantae; Streptophyta; Magnoliopsida; Fabales; Fabaceae. The record is from RNAcentral.
CGUCCUUGGCGGUGAGGAUGACGUUGAUGGUGUCGAGGUCGUUGAAGGUGGAAACGAGUGAGACAAGGUGAUUUUGUUGGCAGUGGCGAAGGGAGCUUGGGCAAAGUUAAGCCUAAGUCUAACUGCCUACAACUGACGUGUGAUCCAGGGUUUUCAUUUGCAAUUGCAUGCAUUGGUGUUGCGGCGUGAAUAACCUGUUGUAAUGACAAAUGUCUCAUUUUCAAUUAAACGCCAACCCAAACAUAUAAAUACAACCCAUAAUUACCAGGUUCGUCAUAUGCUUCGGUAUGUGUACGCAACAUAUGAAUUACCCGGGUAUACAAAGUUGGUUCGCGAGCUGUUCGAUCUAAGUAAACUAAAACUAUAUUUAUAUUUAUAUUAAAAAUAGUUCUGUAGAUAUACUUCAAUUUUAAUAAUAUUUAUUUUAUUAAUUUUCCAUAAAUAAAGUCAUUUAUGUUAAAGUACUGUAUUAUUUGUAUUUUGGGUUGUCUAAAUGACCCAUGGUAAAAUUUGGGUUAAAUAACCCAUGGUCUAGGUGGACCAAUCAUAUUUAAGAUAAAUUGGUGGAAUUUUUUAUAUUUUAUUUAUUAAUUUAUUUAUGGUUAAAUAUGUUUUUGUCCCUAAUUUAUACACAUAAAUAUAAAAUGGUACAUGAAAAAAAACACACAAGUUUUAGUCCUUGAAAAUUUUUAUUUAAUUUAAAAUGGUCCUUGUAAUGGAUUUUUCACAUCUAUUUGAGGCCCUCCAAAAUUUCUUCCAUCAAAUUUAAUUCUUCUUCAUGAAAAAAAACACACAAGUUUUAGUCCUUGAAAAUUUUUAUUUAAUUUAAAAUGGUCCUUGUAAUGGAUUUUUCACAUCUAUUUGAGGCCCUCCAAAAUUUCUUCCAUCAAAUUUAAUUCUUCUUCCUUGAUAAUCAUGUCAAAACCUAAAAAUCAAUCAAGUACUGGUGUGUUGGGGAUUUAGUUCUUCUUCCAUCAAACUUUGUCACGAUGUAUGGGGCUGAAUUAGAGGGUGAUCCUCUUGUCAAUUGGGUUGUUUUUGUCCUUCCUCUGCUUUGUACGAGGGUUGCGUUUCUUAUUCCCAGAGGCUUAUCUAUCCGGUACUAGUGUGUUUGUACAGGGCUACGACCCUUCCUAUAUCAAUAAAUUUUUGAUUUUGCAAAAAAAAAACCUAAAAAUUGUAUUUUCAUCCCAUAAAAGGGAAAGAAUAAGAAACACAGAGCAAAUAGAAUUUUAUAUCCUACACAAGUAAAUUUGAUUUCAUACGGAUUCGGAAGCAAACAUGAAAACCAUUUGCCAAAUUCAUCCUUCUAUAUUUCAAUUUUGUUUUUGAGAACACAACAACAUGAUGAGCUGAGAAUGUAAUGAAGCGUAGCAUAAGAUAGUUACCCCACCAUGGCUGUGUUCUUUAAGUUUGGGAUAAAGAUAUGAAUUCUUAGGUUUUGAAAUAAUUAUGAGCGGAGAAGGACUAAAUUGAAUGGAAAUUUUUUAAAGGGAUCAAAAUAGAUGUGAAAAAUAAUUUAAAGGACUAAAACCUUUGUCUUUUUUUUUCAGGUACUAUUUUAAAUUCAUUUGUAUAAGUUAAGGACAAAAACAUAUUUAACCCUAUAUAAAUUAAUAAAUAAAAUAUAAAAAUUCAAACAAUUUAUCUUAAAUGUGAUUGGUCCAUCUAGACCAUGUGUUAUUUAACCAUAAUUUUACCAUGGGUCAUUUAGACAACCCUUUGGGUUUAUAUAAGUUUUGUUUUUGUCUAGUUAGUAACGUAAAAUGAAAACAGUGAAUUGGGCUUGUGCAGAAAAAAUAAAAAUAAAAAAGGAAACAAGUAGCCCAUCCAUCUGGAUUAACCCAUAUACUAGCCUAACACAGUAACACGUGCCGUAGCCUCACACCUUCUUCACCCUUUUAUUUUGGUGGCUUCCAUGGCGUGCUUCAUCCUCAAAACCACUCCUCUUUCUCUACCUAAAAAUGCUCAUGCGGCCCUCAAAAGAGCACCUAUGGCCCUGCCGACAGCUGAAGAGCCACGUAAGGAGCCCAGGCAAGCGGUGGCUCCGCCACUGUUUGUUGGAGACUCUUCCCGAGGGAAUAGCUCGGGUGUAUGGUUUGCUUUCCUACGACGAGCGCAGAGGAUCCCGAUCCCCUCAACGAUUAUGGAGACGGGCCCAACUCGAAGGGAAAUACAAAGUCGGUUCCCAAGAUGAUGAAUUUACAUCUGAUACCCUUCCCUCUAACUGCCUCGACAGCUGUCAUCUGAACACUAUAACCGCUUUCUAGAAACCACACCUUCUCCAUUUCCCGCUCAACUCUGAAGUCUGAAUCCUCUCGCUCAUGGCUGAAGCUGAAGGUGUUCAAUCGGCUAAUGUCACCAUUGUUGCUAAUCCUCAAACUUCAGGUAACACUUCACAUUCUUGCUCUGCUCUCAACUCUGAAGUCUCUGAAUCCUCUCGUUCAUUCCCUACCAUGGCUUCCAAUUCUGAAGGUACUGAAGCUGAAGGUCAAAUCGAUUCGGAGGAUGUCACCAUUGUUGUUAAUCCUCAACUUCCAGGUAACCUUUUGUUUUCAUUCUCUCUUCCAUACUCUCUGAAUCCUCUCGUUCAUUCUCUACCAUGCUUUUCUCUACAUCCUCUCGUUCAUUCUCUAUGCUUUUCCAAUUCUGAAGGUACUGAAGAUGAAGGUGGUUUAAUUAAUCAAAUCGAUUUGGAGGUUCAAUUGGCUAAGGUCACCAUUGUUGCUAAUUCUCAACUUCCAGGUAACACUUCAUUCUUCUUCCAUUCAUUCUUCUAUGGCUUCCUACUUUCAACUCUGAAGUCUCUGAAUUCUCUCUCGUUUGAAGGUCAAAUCGAUUCAGUUCAAUCAGCUAUUGUUGCUAGUCCUCAACCUGCAGGUAACGCUUCAUUCUGUUUUCAUUCUUUCUUUCUUAGCUUCCUGCUCUCAACUCUGUCAUUGAUGCUGGUGAAGGUGUCAUUGAUGCUAAUUCUGGUGAAGGUGGUUCGGAGGUUCAACUGGCUCAGCAGUGCAGUAGAAAACGUGGAAAAUGGAGAUGUCCAAAGAAGCCUUUGCCAGACAGAAAAUUAUGUGAAGAUCACAGAGCCCAAUCUCAGAAACACAAUGAAGAAUACCGGAUUAAGAAGAAGAAUAAGAAGAAGAAUAACGGUAUGCCUGCGCCUGCUGCUGCACCUUCUUCAUCGGGGGGUAAUCAGUCCAAGUCCAAGAUCCAUCGGUGAUCGUGCCACUGAGGACCAGCUUGUCACUUCUACUACUGUCUCUGUCUCUGUUACCAGGUACUGUUAUUCAUUUCCUGCACAUGAAAUUCAUUUUCCACCUUUUUUGUUUCAGCUUCAUGGUUCUUCCUAACAAGAUUGUUGUUUUCUCCGUAGAAUUGAUUACGGUUUCAAAACAGUACCAAACGAUCGUUUUGCUGUUUGCACCUGUUGAUGAAACAUUCAUGAAUUCCCAAUUAUCCUUGUUCCUUGUUGCGUUGUACAAACACUUGUGUUUCUUUGCCUGUUUUCAGAAGGCAAAAGAUAGAGGCUGAUGCUGAGAGCAUUAUUCGAGCAAUUACUCCUGCCCUUGAUUCUAGCCGAUAUAAAGGCCAAGCAGGUACACUAUUCUUUCAGGUUAUGCUAUUUACUUGUAUUGCAUCUAUGCUUAUUAUUUUUGCAUACUUUGUUUUUACUGUGUUAGCAAGUUUCUGUCCUUUUUCUUUCCAUUCAUUUCAUUUGGUAAAUGGAACCAACUACCUAGGUUGUGGUAAGUUGUGUUAAUCUAAGAUAGAAAAUUGAGAAAGAAAAUUGUUGUCCAAUUUGUGCAGAAGAAGACCCUCGUAUUAUUUAUAUUGAAUAAAGAUUGGUGUACACUCUUUGGGUGUAGACCACUAGAGAGAGAUAAAUAAGUGUGAUAUAUGAUGUGAUGUGACCGAAAGAAAGAGAUAGAGAGAAAAAAAAAGGUGUCCCAAGGUGUCUGUACUAUUUGAUGGUCUAUGAAUACGUUGCUGAUUUAUAUUUUAUGUUUGUGACUGGGUAGAAAAUAAGAAGUGACUAAUGUUUUCUUCACUUAUGUUUCAAAUCAGGAAAAAUAGUUGUGAUUGGAGGUUGCCGUGAGUAUACAGGUGCACCAUAUUUUGCUGCAAUUUCAGCCUUAAAAAUUGUUAGUACCCGUACUCUUUCUAAUUACCCUUUCCUCCUUGUAAUGAUUUCUCCUCAAGUUUGGUUGUAGGGUGAAAGAACUGAACUAUUUUUUCACCCAGGGUGCUGAUUUGUCCCACAUAUUCUGUACAAAAGAUGCUGUGUUUUGGAAGAAUCAUAUGGUGUCAGGUAUGACUUCUUUGUAAUCUACAUCUUUUUGUCUGCAUAUUUCAAUAAAACCAAGUGGAUGGUGUGUUUAGCGAGAGUCUAAUUUCAGGGAGGAGGACAAGAGGACCACAUCAAGCAAGAUUCUUGCUGAAGUUGACAAAUGGUUAGAAAGAUUUGACUGCCUAGUCAUUGGUCCAGGCCUUAGAAGAGACCCCUUUCUGCUAGUAUGCUUUCUAUUGAAAUGCUUCAAUGGAUCAUAGUUUUAUUACACACAUAGACUCAUCUUUAGCUUCUUGUGUUUGCUUUUGGACUUCAAAAUACUCUUAUCUUUUCUAGUACGCGUGUAAGAUAAUAUGCAUGCAGAUGAUGAUAAGUACAAAUACAGUAUAAUGAAUUAAUGUUGCCUGAAAAACUGUCAAAGAACUAGUAGUUUAAAGAUAAACUAUUGGAGGAUAACUCAAAAGGCAGUUUUUCUCAUGUAACAACUCAUUGAUAAUGAUGUAACAAAGCAUUAGCUCAUAACUCUUGGAACUUGAUAUUACUUUGUAUUGAUAUUCUGAUAAUAAAGUUGAAAAUGGUAAGGAUGAACUAGAUCACCUCAUUGCCCUUCUUUUGGUACUGUGUCAAAGAACCAUACUGUCUAAAAGUGUAAGUUAUUGAGCGCAUACAUAGAUUUUAUGGCUGUUGGAAAUUUGCGCUUUCAAGCUGUACAUACUACAUAGUGUUUAUGAAAUAUACUGUUUUCUUCAACCUUGUUGUGUUACAGGUAUUUUCCCCCAUCUGAGUUCUAUCAUUCUACGAGAUGAUAUAUCUUAUGAUGUACCUGUUUCCGUUGACCACCAUUCUUAUCCUAACAUUUGCGCAAUAUUAUCAGGAUUGUGUGAGUGAAAUCAUGAGACAUGCAAGACAGUCAAACAUCCCAAUUGUGGUAGAUGGGGUAUGUAUGUAAGUUGAGGUCUAGAAACAUUGUAGUCUGAUUAACAUGUCCAUAUCGAUUGCACAUCUAGCCUAUAUAUGAUCAUUCUAAUACUUUUUUUUUGGCAUUUUCAGGAUGGACUUUUUCUUGUUACAGAUAAUAUUGACCUUGUUAGUGGCUAUACAUUAGCUGUUCUUACCCCAAAUGUCAUUGAAUAUAAACGUCUUGUACAGAAAGUACUGAGUUCUGAAGUAAAUGACACAGAUGCUACUCAGCAAGUGCUAUCGCUUGCCAAACAGUAAGCUCUUCAUUUCAAGUACCCUUUUUUGUGCUAGAACAUUUUUCUGGCAACGGUUCCUUCUCCAUUUGUUGUUUGCUGUUUCUGAAAUGUGUAUCUGUUGCUGUCAGUUUGGUACUGUAACCACCAUGUUUUUCUGCAAGCAAACUUGGCUUCUGUAUUGUGAAAUUUACUUGGCCAAAGGUUGUUUUUUCAAAUUACACAAAUAAGUGUAGCGCUCACUCCAGAUAAUUGACAAGUUCUGAGGGCGUAGUUGGAAGAUGAGUCACAUAAAUGUAAUAUUCAUGCAAGAUACUGCUCCAUUUUAUGUUCACCCCAGGACCAUGAACUUCCGGAGAAAAAACAAAACUUCAGUCAUAAAUGGAAGGAUGUGUUCCUCAAUUGGGAACUCCAUUCUUUUCAACCAUCUGGUCUUAAAAGACAGAAAUAACUACUUUUGAUAUCCCUCUCUAGUCUACAAUCUCCAUAAUUUAUUUUCACUGUGACUCUAAAGCUCUGAGAACUUAUCUCAAGAUUCAAACUGGAAUGGGGAUUUAAAUUUUAAAUCCUAAUAUGCGCUGUAUAGUGGGAAGUGUGAUUUACUUGAUGCUCAGGCUAACUCAUGGCAUAUGCAGGUCAAAUAUUGUGAAAACUGAUUAUAAUAAUUAGAUUUCUUUGUAAAAGAAAAUUUAGACAUUUUAGCAAUAGAAAGAACUAGAGCAUGAUAAGUUGUUUGAUUGGUCUGCAUUUCGAUGAUCUGACUCUAAGUGCAAAAGCUUAAUGAUGGCUGUGAACUUUUUUGGCAGGAUUGGUGGUGUUACUAUCCUAAGGAAAGGGAAAUCUGAUCUCAUUAGUGAUGGUGUCUGCAUUUCGAUGAUCUGACUCUAAGUGCAAAAGCUUAAUGAUGGCUGUGAACUUUUUUGGCAGGGUUGGUGGGGUUACUAUCCUAAGGAAAGGGAAAUCUGAUCUCAUUAGUGAUGGUGAUACAGGUAGAUCCUUGAUAAAUGUAAAAAUCUUGUUCUUUUUUCCAUGCAUAUUUUCAAUUCCAAUCAAGAUGUAUGUUCAUGUAGUACCUGCAUGUUGUGUACAAGAUAAUUGAACUGAAAGUUUACAAAUGUAGUUGUCCUUCUUAAUUAAUCUAUGGAAUAGAGGCUUUAAGUUAUGGAACAGACAGCAAUGUUCUCUGAAGCAUGACAUAAAAAGUAGUGCUUGACAGUAUAUUAUUUUUGCAUUGGCACCUUGCUUAUGAGAUAAGUAUUAAAGUGAUCCUUCAGUGCUUUAUGAUAUAGACUGUUUUGUGGUAAAUGAUUUGAUUAUGACUAUUAUUUGUGCAGUCAAAUCAGUGACCAUCUAUGGUUCUCCUAGGCGCUGUGGUGGCCAGGGUGAUAUCCUUUCUGGAAGGCAAGUUAACUUUUAUACAGUUUUCUUAGAUGCCUUCUCUUUACAUUAGAUGGAGUUCUCUUCAUUUUAUGCUCCUUCCCUCCUUUUUCAUUUUGUCACUGUUAUCUAAGCACUUUCAAAAAUCAAUGUAAAAUGUCUAUGAAAUCUGGAGCGCUCAUUAAUACAAUUGAAAAAGAGACGCAACUCAUUCAACUCCUUGUUUUAUUAGUUGCUUUUAUUUUGCAACUCAUUUGCUUGUCAAUUUGUCAUUCAUUGAAAGAGAGAAGUAAAGCAUUCAAUCACUUGAUCAUGAUCUUUUCUUGAGUUGGACCAAUAGUUCAAGUUAAAGUAGCAAUUUAAGUUGUUAAGCUUCCAUAUUUCUACUAAUUCGCUGAGUCUACUACAUUGGGGAGCUUGUGAGUAAUGUAUACUGCAGUGUUCAUGUACAAUUCUUAGCUAUUAGAAACAGAUUCUAUAAUACUGCUACAGCAAAUCUCAGAAGAAAAUAUAAAUUGCAUGUUACUUACACAUAUGUUGUUGAAAUUCGAGAUUUUAAUAAAAGUUUACUUAUUUUAAUUGGUACAGUGUUGCUGUCUUUUUGUCGUGGGCACGCCCACAUAUUUUAGCUGCUGGUCCAAAUUCAAAUCUCAGGUUAUAUGUCAUUACCUUACCUAGAUUCUACAACAAAUGUUUUCUAUUUUGCUCAGGCAUAUUGUCUCAUCUUUGAAUAUCAGUUAUAUCUUUAGUUAUAUUUUGUUACAGUCUUACAAAUCCAGCAGUUUUGGGAUGCAUUGCUGGGUCUGCUAUGAUGAGGAAAGCAGCUUCCCUUGCCUUCUCCAAUAAGAAACGAUCAACGGUCACUGGAGAUAUCAUUGAAUGCUUGGGGAAAAGGUAGAGAUUUCAUGAAAAAUUGUAAAACUUUGUUUAAUGAUAUGAGCAAGUUGAGUUGCAUUUAAGCUUCUGUAUUAUUUCUUGCAGUCUGGAAGAUAUUUGUCCUGCUGGUUCAUGCUCUUUGUGACCUCCAGACACUUACAUGAAACAUGUCAAGUUGUAUGUUUUGCUUGGAGAAUAGUUUCUUUCGUUUACACUGGUUUUUACUUUUAGACCUUAGAAACGCAUCCCUUCACACAAGUGUAAUGUGAAAAUAGCUUGCAUUGUCAGUUACAUUUGUAAAAUUGUUGCGGAAUGUUCCUUAGAAACGCAUCCCUGUAAUGUGAAUGUUACUUCCUCCUAUAAAAAAAAAUGACAUUCGUUUGCCACUUUUAAACCUUACGAAUUGAAUUGUCUGGUCAUUACAUGUUAACUUUGAUGACCAAUUUAUAGAAACAAAGACAAUGCCCUCAUUUUUGCACCAUGGUUUUGGGAGAAGUGAUUUGAAGGUAUGAGACAUUCAUUUGGGAUCUCUCAUAGAUUAAUCUUUCUUAAAAACAUGAUCCCACUUAUUAGUAGGUUGGGCGGGGCUGUUUGGAGAGUUGAAUUGCUCAACCCACCCGCUAUGUCGUCGCACCUUAAGGUUAAGUAGGUUCGGCCCUCAAGUUGGCACCGGUGAUUUUGGUAUAUAUUUAAAGUUUAAAUAGAUAAAUGAAAAAGUUCUCUUGGUGUUAUCCCUUAAAUCCAAUUAUUAUUGAGAACUAUUCCAUACUUUUAUUCUUUUAUUAAUAAUCCUUUUAAGACUAUCAAGUUCUUAACAUGAAAUUUGAAGGAGGGGGGCGGUUUAUACAUACGGGUGACUUCACUCAAAGCUGAACAUUUAGACACAUUGACAGUGAAAACUACUUUUCGGUCUCAUCUGAAUCUGGGGAGUUUUUCAUCAUCGGAUGUUUUGGGGCUGCAUACUGCAAUACUUGAGGAGCAGAAGGAUAGAGUGGUUGCUGCCUGUAUAUAGCAUGAUCAAAAGGAGGCCGUUGCAUAACCAAAAUGAGGAGGAGGAGGUGGUGGCACAUAGUAGUAAGGAUGAGGAGUACCAAGAGGAGGAGGAACAUUUUGACCCGGGAAAAAAAAAUUGUGCGUUGCGCUUGCAUUAUGAAAGUGUGUUACUUACGUACAUUGAAAGUGCUAUAGUCACGAAUUUUUAAAGUGCUAUAGUGACGCAUUUUUAAAGUGCGAGUGAAAAAAAUUUAUAAAAGGUAUUUUUGGAUUUUACGAAUUUAUCAGGGUACGAAUAGAUGUGGGGGGUCCGAAUAACAACUCCCUGUAUAUUAUUCAUACGCACUCAUACUUAUUGACAUCCUUAAAUCUGAAUCUAUCAAAAUGAUUAGGCUUAAUAAAUCAUGGAAUAAGGCCUACUUCAACGUGUACCUAUUGAAAACCAUAAAAGUAAUUUUGUACCCAUUAGAAACCAUAAAAGUAAUUUUAAAAACCAAUUUUGUUAAGUGGAAGAUGGUUCGGAGGCAACCAAGAGAGAGUUGAUGGUGUUACCUACAGAGCUGUUGGAGCCUUACGGCGUCUUGACCUGAGCUCGGAGUGCCUUACUGAUUGGGAAGCGAUUGGGAAUGGUGUAUGAUCCCUCAAAUUUUUAAUUUGAAAUAAAAGACAUUAAACAACACAACUCACAUGAGCUAAUAAUAUGUUUUUUUUUUGAAACUGGAAAAUAUUAUUAAAAAUAGCUUAAGUGGUCAUAGCGGCAGUUACAUCAGAAUCAACCAAACGAAUACAAUCCGGCGGAACCUCCUCAAUCCAAACAUAGUUGGGGUACUUUGAGGAGUUCUUAGCUAAGUGAUCAGCUACAGUGUUUCCGGAUCGGCGAACAAAAGAUAAACUAAAACUAUUAAAGCGGGAAACCAAAUCCUUACAAUCUCUAAGAAUUGAAAUAAAAUAAGAAGCCCUUGCUUCCCAAAUCACCCACAAAACCGAUACACACAAAGCUUCCAAGCUGCUGUCAUGAAGCUCAAAAACUUGCUGCAACAAACUCAUUACCGUGCUAUCGGGCUGCACCUGCAAGCCACUCACCAUCGCGAACCACCAUCGUGAUGUAACCGGGCAUGCCAGAAGCACAUGGUCGAUCGUUUCAGGAAUGUCAUGGCAAAAAAGGACAGCUAGCGUCCACAUCAACUCCACGAACUUGCAGUAAUUUCCUCACUGGAAGAAUGCCUCUCACCGCCCUCCAAGCAACCUCCUUGCAACGGGGAAGAGCUUGGACAUGCCAGAGAGAUUUCCAGAACUUAACAGGAGCAAUAUGGGCAGGGGAAGAAGACGCUGUGCAAGAGACCUUCCGCUGCCUAACAAAAUCAUAACCGGACUUUGUAGUAUACAAACCAUCCACAGUAUGAGGCCAGUGCAACUCAUCACGUUUAGCUGUCAACGCAUGAAGCUCAAAAACCUGCUGCAACAAACUCAUUACCGUGCUAUCGGGCUGCACCUGCAAGCCACUCACCAUCGCGAACCACCAUCGUGAUGUAACCGGGCAUGCCAGAAGCACAUGGUCGAUCGUUUUAGAAGAAUGCUUCUCACCGCCCUCCAAGCAACCUCCUUGCAACGGGGAAGAGCUUGGACAUGCCAGAGAGAUUUCCAGAACUUAACAGGAGCAAUAUGGGCAGUGGAAGAAGAUGCUGUGCGAGAGAUCCUCCGCUGCCUAACAAAAUCAUAACCGCAGUUAUUUUAACAUGAUAAACAAACCCAUCACUCAUUUAUUUAACAAGCUUAAAUAUCAUCAAGAAAACCCAAGCUUAAGCACAAAUGGAUAACAUCGGCUUCAGAACUUAAACCAUAAAAAUGAGCAAGAAAAAGUAACUAGAUCACAAGCAGCAAGACCCAAAAAAGGGGGUUAAGUUAUAACCCACUAAGAAGCUUAAACAGAUCCAAUUGAGCAAAUGAUAUACCUUAGAAGGAAGCAAGUGGUAAAUGAUGAAACUUUAGAACCAAAACUUAAUCUUGACUGCAUAGAGUUCAUGAGCAUGAGAAGAAGGAAAGUGGUUAAGUGGUUACUCUGAGCUGAGUUGAGCUGAGCUGUGACUGAGAGAGACUCAGAUACCACCGACUGAAUUUAGAUUCUGGCAUUCAUAUUUUAUUUUAUUUUUAUUUUAUCUUUUUUGGAUAAUUUCUAUUAUUGUUAUAUUCCAGUUGGGUUUGUGUGUGUCGUGCACUCUUUCUCCAAUUCACCUGCACACUCAUUCAUUAAAUAUGUUAAGCCAUACAUAUAUACUUUCUAUGAUAUAUGUAUGGCUCAAACAGUGAUACUUGUAGAUGUUGUACUCCUUGUCCUCAAAGCAACAGUGGCAGCAGCAAAGAUUCAGAAGGUUCUUCUCAUAGAACAAGGACAGCACCAACAACUACAAGGAUGUUGGAUCAGACAAAUUCUUCUGAUGGUGUUUUGAAAAAUCUUGAUGCAGUUGAACCACACCAUAUCUCCAACCAUUCAGGUAUAUAUCGAACAGUUUCCUAGUGGAACAGGCAUGUCUUAGUUUAUAGUUCACUAUGCUUCUAAAACUUAGUAUUGUUUACUAAAUUGUUCAUAUGAUGUUUCAGUUAAUUGCCAUAGCUUCUCUUUGCCAUGUUUGGGCCAAAUCAAUUGAUCACAAUUUUUAGGGGAUUUGUUGUAAUUAACAUUUCUUGACUGAAUUUCUUUGAAGGCUGCACUUUUUGCAGGUUUUAUUGCUUGUUUAGUGAACAGAGCUCUGAUUAAACAGUUUUCUUCAUCUUAUUUUCAAGUUUUACAAAAUCAAAUUUUGGAAAACUUCCACUGAGUUUUUUGUCGUAAUUUGUUAAUGUUAUUUAUGUAUCAUACUGCUUUUUUUAGAUUCUGCAAUGUGAGCUUCUGAAUUCUGAUGUCAUGGAAAAUGAUUCAAUAUCUUCUGCCUACUUUUGCAUUUAGCGCAUACACUUGAUGAUAUAAGGUCACUACUGUUUUUCUUGUUUGUGUUUUAUUUGAAAUAGAGCAUCUGAUUGCUGUCUAUGUUAUUUUGUUUGUGUAAACUAUGGCUUUCAUAGUUUGAAGAGAACUUAAAUGAAUGAAAGCACUUUUAGGAUGUAAUUUUUUAUGUGGUGGAAAGAAGUACUUUUAAGAACCUAGUUUAUCAACAUGUUCUAUUUUGCAGUCACUGAACUUCAAGAAGAUUCAUCUAGGCAGAUUAUAGAAACUAUGUGGAACAAGUUCAGUUAAUUCUGAAAACAUCUUGGGGCAGAUUGAUUGCAUCUUAAAAGUCCAGAACAUGCCAAAGACAUUUGAUUGCUUUGAGGAAUACAGGGAAAAGGUGAAGAUUAAGGCUGAAAGCUUAGAGAUGACAAAAAUGAGGAAGUUCACAAAGCAAAGUAUUAGGAUUCAAUCCUGUCACAGGCAACAACCUGUUAUCCAAAUAGAAUAGGCUUCUCAUUCUUUCAAAUGGACAGAGUAAAUGUUGUGCUAGUUAUAUGUACCAUAAAAGCAAUCAAUUCCAACAUGAUCCAAGCAUAAAAUUCAACAAAAAAAGUCAAUGAGAUGCAACAGAAAACUUAAAUAACACACAUUCGGUUUCUAGUUUCUAUCAACAUAACAAAAUAUAACCUGUGUGAAGCCAUUGAAGUUGAAAAACCAAAAUCAAUUAACCAUUUUCUCAUAAAGACAAAUGAAUAUAAACCAGUUUUAUCCCUUCGUAAAAUAGAAGAGAUAGAUCCACAACUGCUCCACUUAAUUUUAAUAAGGUGAAAUUAAGCUUUCACAGCAAAUCGUGGCACAUGAUUUAAAUACGCGGUAAGUUGUUUCAAGAGGACUCAAUCUUUUAGUUCUGGGGUUGUAGAGGAAAUCUUCUGGCAAGAUGAGGAAAUCACCAUUGUCGAACCUAUAGAUAGGAAAGAAAAAGGGUAUCGGGAAGUCACGAGGUUCAAGAUCUUUAUCAUUACUAAUGCUGAGCAAUUUAGUCCAAGACUCAUGAAUUCCAAACUUCUUCAUCUGCCAAAUUACAAAAUUUUCUCCGUCAUUGUGAGAAACGCAGAGGCAUUCAUCCAAAACCCCCAGAUGUGGAGAACGGAACUUAUGGGGCGUAUCAGGCAACACCAACCUCACAAACUCCUCCUUAUUCAAAUCAAAAGAAAGAAUCAUGCAUGAGCCAUUGUCCCACUCAAAAUUGUCCCACUCAGAAUCAAAAUCCACCCACUCAUUGUUUCCCACAUAAUUGUUCUCAUUAAUUUUAUUAAUGACUAUCCAAUUAAGAGUCCCAUUCAAGUGAACUCCAAAUAUGUUCUUACCCUCCUCUAUAGGGGUAAGAUCAGGUGGGAAACAUCCAACACAUCUCCAACUAUUGCCACCCAUAUUAAAAACCAUCGCAUACUGGUUUCUCAUUAGGACUAACACCUUGUAAGUGUCACUCACGUAAUCAUAGCCAAACCCGCAAUAGACAAAGAGAUAGGAUAACUCAUCAUCGUUAGGCGGCAUGGUUUGGAACAUCUUUUGAGAUGUUGACUUCAUGGCUUGGAACAUUUGAGAUGUUGACUUCAUGGCUUGGAACAUCUUUUGAGAUGUUGACUUCAUGGCGGGAUUCCAGAAACAAACCCAAAAAAGUUGCUGUUCAUCAGAUGUGUCUUGGGUUCCAAUCAUGCACACCAACCCAUCACAGGAACCUAUUGUCAAGUAUCUGUCUUUCCAAUUGGAGCGUAAGAACUGCACUUCUUCAGCAACGGUUGGAGGAGGGGUUUUGAGAAAGGAUUUGACAUGCAAAGAUGAGAUGUGAUCGGCGUCGUUAUAUGGAGGGAAGAAUAUUACAAGUGGGUUGGCGUUUGGAGCCGAGGAUUGGCGAAGGUGUAGCUUCACAAAGUAGGUGCUGGAGAUGAGAGAGUUGAAUGAUUUGCACACCAACUUGAACCGCAUCAAGGAUUUCACAGAGAGACGUGAGAGGAUAUCCAUGAUGAGUUCCUCUGGGAUCAAUAGCCGGUUUGUAUGGAGUCGUUUCUCCUCUGGUUGCAUGGUGCAGCUAUGGAUGUGUAUCAACUAUCAACAGUGGCGGAGCAAGAAUUUUCGGGGAGCCUGGGCAAGAUUAAACCUAAGUCUAAUUAACCACAUUUGACGUCUGACCUAGAAUUUUAAAUUGCGAUUGGGGGCAUUGCAGUGUUGCGGCGUGAAUAGCAUGUUAGCAAAAUUCGAUAUGACAAGAGUUGGAUCUGGUAAACAUGAGUUCAAGUAAAGAGAAUUUUAUUUGAAUAUCUUUCAUUAGAAUUAAUUUUAGAUGUAUAACAAUCAAAUGAGUAUAAAUAUUAUAAUUAUAAAUGAUAUAUUUUAAAUAAAUAUAAGUAAUAUAUUAAAACAAAUUACUCCUUUUGACCAUUGUAAUAUAUAUUUUAGAUUUCUAUAGUUUGAUUAAAUUUUACGGACUCAAUUUUGAUAUUUUUUAAACUAUAUCUAUAUAUUUUUUUUCCCAAUCUAUAUACAGUAGUAUACUUUGAAAAAUAAUAUAACAUGUGGAAGUUAUGGGCUGAUGUAAUGUUAGUUUACACAUAUAGAUAAGCUCUUCGGCCUAGCCCAAUAUAUGGCUAUGUUUGGCAUGUCAUUUCAGCUAGCUUAUAGCUUAUUUGACUAGCUUAAAGCUUAUUUGACUAGCUUAAAAGCUCUUUAAAAGUGUUUGGUGAAGGAGCUUAUUUCAGUAGCUUAAAGCUUUGAGCUAUAAGCUAUCAGGUAGCUUAUAGCUUAUUAAAUUUAUUUUCUUUUUUAUCCUUAUUAAUUUAUUAAAAUUCUACCAUUACCCUUAUAUAUAUAUAUAAAAACACUAAACCUAUUUUUCAUCACANNNNNNNNNNNNNNNNNNNNNNNNNNNNNNNNNNNNNNNNNNNNNNNNNNNNNNNNNNNNNNNNNNNNNNNNNNNNNNNNNNNNNNNNNNNNNNNNNNNNNNNNNNNNNNNNNNNNNNNNNNNNNNNNNNNNNNNNNNNNNNNNNNNNNNNNNNNNNNNNNNNNNNNNNNNNNNNNNNNNNNNNNNNNNNNNNNNNNNNNNNNNNNNNNNNNNNNNNNNNNNNNNNNNNNNNNNNNNNNNNNNNNNNNNNNNNNNNNNNNNNNNNNNNNNNNNNNNNNNNNNNNNNNNNNNNNNNNNNNNNNNNNNNNNNNNNNNNNNNNNNNNNNNNNNNNNNNNNNNNNNNNNNNNNNNNNNNNNNNNNNNNNNNNNNNNNNNNNNNNNNNNNNNNNNNNNNNNNNNNNNNNNNNNNNNNNNNNNNNNNNNNNNNNNNNNNNNNNNNNNNNNNNNNNNNNNNNNNNNNNNNNNNNNNNNNNNNNNNNNNNNNNNNNNNNNNNNNNNNNNNNNNNNNNNNNNNNNNNNNNNNNNNNNNNNNNNNNNNNNNNNNNNNNNNNNNNNNNNNNNNNNNNNNNNNNNNNNNNNNNNNNNNNNNNNNNNNNNNNNNNNNNNNNNNNNNNNNNNNNNNNNNNNNNNNNNNNNNNNNNNNNNNNNNNNNNNNNNNNNNNNNNNNNNNNNNNNNNNNNNNNNNNNNNNNNNNNNNNNNNNNNNNNNNNNNNNNNNNNNNNNNNNNNNNNNNNNNNNNNNNNNNNNNNNNNNNNNNNNNNNNNNNNNNNNNNNNNNNNNNNNNNNNNNNNNNNNNNNNNNNNNNNNNNNNNNNNNNNNNNNNNNNNNNNNNNNNNNNNNNNNNNNNNNNNNNNNNNNNNNNNNNNNNNNNNNNNNNNNNNNNNNNNNNNNNNNNNNNNNNNNNNNNNNNNNNNNNNNNNNNNNNNNNNNNNNNNNNNNNNNNNNNNNNNNNNNNNNNNNNNNNNNNNNNNNNNNNNNNNNNNNNNNNNNNNNNNNNNNNCCAACAUCUUCAUCUUCUCCAUCCCAUCAUCUUCAUCUCAUUUUUUCAAUACCCAAAUUAAAAAACCAAGAUCUAGAACCUCAAUCUUAAAAUUUUUACUAACAACUCAAUCUUAAAAAUCAAACGCCAAAUAACAUUCCAGAUUCCCAUACAUAUUCUUCAAAAUUCAGAAAAUCAACCAAAGAAAGAACCAGAACAGAACCCCAAUUUCAGAGCAUAUGUUUCAUCAUUUUCAUCUCUAAAACCUAACAAUCUCAAAUGAGCAUAACCAGCCAAAUAACAUUGGUAGAAGCAGUGCGUGCGAUGGUGAUGGGCUCGGAGGAGAUCCCCAACUCAGAUCUCCAUCGAUCUGCUCUGUCCUAGUUCGAGAGAAGACCCAUCGUGCUUUCGGGAGGGGUGGUGGUGGCCAAGCCGUGAGUGGUGGUGGCGGCGGUGGCCAUGGAAGAAGAAACCCAGAAGAUUGAGACCCAUAAGUGGUGGUGGUGGCCAAGAAUCUCGUUCGAGAGCCCUAGAACCACACCCACCACCUUCAGUAACUUCAAUUAAUCCCAAAUGGUGUUUACAGUAACUCUUGAAUCGUUCUCUUUGUGAAAUCUGGAAAAUCUGGGCGUGGGUUUUUUCUUCUUUUGGGAUGAAAGGAAAUAGAAUUAGGGUUCUUUGUGAUGGUGAUGUUGAAAGGGUUUAUGAAAGGAGAAGAUGAAGAAGAAGAAGAUGGAGGAGGAGGAAGAGAGGAAGCAGAUGGGGAAAUUGGGGAAAAUGAUGUUUUGUGUCAAAAUUCAGAUCGUGGAGCGUUGGGGAAUUGGGGAAAAAUAAUCAGAUCGUGGAGCAUUGGGGAAAUUGGGUCAAAUUAUUUUUGUUAAUUAAAUUAAAAUGUCAUAUAUGUUAUUUUAAUUUUUUUUAAAUUCCACGUAGGCAGUAUUGACACAGUCAGCGUGACACUUCAUCACUCGCCGGAGCCCCGGGCUCCGGCGAGGACUUGCUCCAAACGAUUUAUAAAAAAGAGAAUCUUUUGCACAAAUUUUUCCGGUGAGGGACCUAGUUCAGACAGCGAGACAAAGACAAGGACCAAUUUUAGGAUUAAGCCUAUCUUAAAUGCCACUAAUUUAAAAACACAUUCCUAGCUAAUUAGGAGCUAUUUGUUAGCAAUUUUCAGAAGUGGCACUUAACUUAAAUGCCACAAAUAACCUUUUCAAUUUUAUAAUAUAUAACUUUUUUUUUUAACUUUCACUCGCACAGUUUCAGAAUUUUAAACCAAAAAGAAAAAAGAAAAAUCUGUUUCAGCUUUUCUUCCAAACUCUCUCACGCCAUUCACACUGUUUCUCCCAAACGCUCUCCAAACACUUUCACGCUUUCUUCCGAUUCACGAACGCAACAACCAUCGUCGUCCUCCCCGAUCGUCCGUCAAGCUCGGCCAUUGUGAAGCAACCUUCGCCGUCGUCCCUCUAUCACCACAUCGCAACAGAGCGACCACUGUUCCAUCUCCAACGCAGCCACACUCCACGCCUCGCCAUUGUGCUUGCAAGUUGCAAUGCUCCUUCCUCUGCUUCCAGAUCCAGCAAAUUCUCGUUCAUGAUACUCACCGGAGAAGAAACCCUAGAUCCGCGAUGCUCCAUGGCCGACACCUCCAGGAUUCCACUCCGGCUACAACCAGGUGGCGCAACAAGGUAGGUAGUCAGUGGAUUUGGUUUCGUUCGAUUUGGAGUUCAAAUCACCCAAUCAAGCUCGAGAGGUUGCGUUUCUUGCCCUUCUUCUUCUGAUUUGAUCUUGUUUCUUUGUUUCUUACUCGCAUGUACACUGAAUUGGAAAUUGCGGUGUCGGAGAUAGGAAUUGUAGGGCUAAAUCGUAUGCUCAGGUAAUUCUCAUUACCUCUGUAUUGGUGUUUUGCACAAUCUUACUUGCAUUGGUAUUCUGCAUGCAAUUUGAAUUGUAUUGCAUUGUGUUUGAAUUCACUACAUCAUUCCCCUUAUUAAUUCCUAGUGUAGAUCAUAUAACUUCUAGUUUCGCCAAUUUUGUGUUUUAGCAGCCAUCAUUAUUUUGGUCAGUUCAUAAUUUUAAUUGAUUUGACGCGGUUGAGGACUAGACAAAUUCAGUUCUUAGUCUCUGUAUCAUUAUAUAUGAUGUUUUCUUGACCAUAAUUCAUUUACUUAAGUCAUAAUCCAAUUACUAUUUUUGACAUUGUUGAAACUUAUGUAGACAUCAUAUUGAUUUAUCAAUGCAGAUAGCGCCAUUAUGCAAUCAGUAAACUAGUCAAUAUGGAUGAUACCAACACAUGCAUUAGACCAUUGUAAUGAUGAUUUGUUAAGCAUUGUAUCUUAGGGACUUAAUGUUAUAUGCAGAGUUUCUAAUAACCUUUGAUGUUAUCUUCUAUUUCCCUUUCUCUUCGAUUUCAUUAUCGAUUUAUUUGAUCUUUCAACUUUCUUGGAACAACAGCUUUGGUUUCACAGGUGACCCAGGAGGACUUUGACAGGGCACUAAUACCCACCAUUCACUAAUUUCAAAAAACUUCCAGCACACAUAGCUGCUAAGGCCUAUGAGCUUGGUGAGCCUUAGUUUUCAUUUUGGUUUUUGCACAUAUGCCUUAUAGUUUCUUGUUUUUAAUGCUCUUUCUAGUUAAUUAUAGAUAAAGUUAGACCAAUCAUAAAAAUUAAAUUCAAAUAUUGCUCAGGCUUGGCUAAAGUGGUGUUUUAUUCGAGCUCCACUUGCUUAGGUAAGUUUAUUCCACUUCCGCAUUAUUCUACAAAUUUUCUAUUAUGAUAAAGGUGUGUUCAACAUAAAUGGGAUACUGCAAAACUUAAAGGAAGUAUUCUGGAUGCUCAUGCUCAAGUUUUGAAUUAAAAACUAUUUUUGACUUCUAUGUUUGUAAUUCACUUUCAUGUGCAGUUUCGAACAUGAGUACCACUACCUCAUGGUGCAGUUUCAAAUUCACUUUCAGUUUAUAAUUUUUCUAGUCUUAUACUUUUAUCACCCUGUUUCCCUCAUUUGGUCUUCAUGUACAUGUUUCUCAUAAAUUUGCAUCCAUUUGGAAAGAGUCCUGCAAUUCCAGAUGGUAUUGAUUUUUUUCUGAUGAAGCUUCAUUCAUGAUGCAGAUAAUAGAGUUGGCAUUUAAGGUGAGAUUCUUAAUAUGUUUAUUCACUGAACUAAUGUUACAGAUUCUUAAUAUGUUUGUUUUGCUUUAUUCUACUUAGUGAUGAAAUGACAAAGGUUAUCCAUGGUGGACAGAAGAAACGAAUAUGAAUAAGUUAAUGUCAUCUUCAUUUGAUGCUUAACCAACAAACUAAUGUUAUUAAAUAUUUUAUUUCUCAUAUCCGAUAGUUAAAUUAACUAAUGAAUUUGUAUUCUAGUGGCUUUUUAUUGUUCUUAAUUUCUCACAACCGAUAAGUUAUUAAAUAUUUUUUUGAUUCUUUUUCAUUGUGUAGAGAGUUCUAAUGUCUUUGAUUUUCUGAAAGAUAUUGUCAGCAAGGUUCCUGAUUUAGGCUGGUUUGUUCCAACUGGGGAAGUACUGUCACAAAGAGGUUUGUGCUUCAUUUCAUACUCUUGUUGCUUUGAGCAAGUUCUGUAGGCUUGUGUUGGUAGUUUACAUAUAUCUUCGUGUAAUUGAUUUAUGUACUUUGGUGUUUCAAUCUGUGUAGGAUGUAUAUUCAUCUAAGUCUCAUGUUGCAAUGAGUCUUACUCCAGCUAGUAUUUGCAGUUUACAACUUUGGAAGCUGGAACAAAUAUAUACAUUUCCUAUCAUGUUCAUGGCUUCAUGCCCAUUUGCUAGUGUGCUAGCAUGUGAAAUCUUGAUGCAUACUCAGAAUUUAGUAAAGAUGUUUCAUAUUUGAGACAUGGAAAAACAGUAAAUUGUAAUUUUUUUUUUUCUGAUGAGUGACAGAACCACCUUUGAAGAGUGGUCUUGCAAUUAUGUAUAACAUAAUCUUGCUCAUGCUUAUUAAUAUUCAUUAUGUUCCUUUUAUCUUAUUCUCUCUCUGCUUACUUUGGUGAUUAUGGAUUAACUAAUCACCAACAUAUUAGAGAUUUUAAGAUUUAAUUUAAAUAUAUUUACGAAUAAGAAAAAAAUGAAAUAUUCACUUGGUAAAGCUAAUUUGGUGAUGUUUCAAAACCUGUAAUGAUUGAUGCAUUCGUGGCAUUUACAAGGUGCCAGUAAAAUUUAAGCCUAAUACAAUGGUAGAUGCAUUUGUGGCAUUUAAAAAAUGCCUGAAGGGAUUUGUGGCAUACAAAAUCGGCAUUUAAGCAAAAAAUGCCACAAAACAGUUGUGGCACCUGUAAUAGAGGCACUUAAAGGUGAAUGCCACUAAUAACACUUGGGGCAUUUAAUAAAUGCCACAACUUAACAAUAUCAAUGCCACUAAAUAUACAUUUUUUUGUAGUGCAUGCAUAUCACGUUAGGCUCUAAACAAUAUCAAAGGAAUUUAAAUUCAAAUCUUUUUUUUACGGGAAAGUAAGACAUUUAAAUUCAAAAUAUAAUAUUAUAGUAUCAGAUUUUUUAUUCAAAAUUCAAAACUUUUGACCACCGAAGUUAAAAAAAUCAUUCUCGAUGGUUGUUAUGUAUUUUUUUUUCUUUAAUAUUUUGAAUUUCAAAUAGUUAUGAUUUUUCAAAAAGAAUAGGUUUAGUGUAUGAUUAAUCAAAGUUUCAUAUUGAUUAUUUAUUGAAUUUUGAUUGAUUGACACGUGCCCAUUAAAGAUGAAGCUCUAUAUGAUUGACACGUAGGAUUCUGAUGAGUCUUAAACUAUAUAGUAUUAGAUAAAGAGAGAGGCACACACUAGUUAGAUACACACGUAAAUAAUUGUUUUGCCUUUUUUUUCCAAUAUUUGUGGUUUUGAGUAUGAUAAUGGGCUAAUGGCCCAAAAAAACAGAAAAGGUUAGGAUUAAGGCAACCCAAUAUGACUAUAGUACAAGAGGAAAGACCAAAACUACGAACGAUGACCAUUUUGACUAUUUUGAUUGUGCAUGCUUCAUGAGAAUGAGAAUUCACUUCACUUCCGGCUACUUCACCACUUGCCUCCCACUCUCCCAUCAAAUCCAAUCACUAUUCUUAUGAUCUUAUCCUCUUUUCCCCCUUACCAAAAUAUUAAUUGAGUAAAAUAUUUGUCUCAAUAAAUCUUUCUUCAUACCAUAAUUUAUAAGUAUCAAACUCGAGCCAGAUAGUUUAUGCUAGAAUUAUUAAAAAAAAACUAUUAUGCAUGAUAUGAACUCAACUCUUCAUUUUUAAAUUUAGAAAAAUGAACAUACAUACAUUAUACAAAUAAAUACACCAUUGUUUCUUCUCUUAUUACAUAAUUUUCUUUCCAUAUAAUAAGCAUUCUUUAACUUUAAUUUAACAGAAACAUAAUUUACACGUCAAACAAAACGACAAAAGCAGCUUCAGCAACCUUCAUCCAUCGUCUUCACAUUCACACCAGCGUCCUACACGCUGAAGUCUUCGGGUCCCACAUCGCCGGCAACAGGUACUUCCUCCCGUUCACCCCAUGCGCAUUGUAACUCGCCCCUGUACUCUUCUCCACCAAAACCUGACCCGGGUAACCCGGAUACGACCCGCUCCCGAAAACACCAGUACAAGCUGAAACCGCCUCCAACGGCGCCGUCGCCGGACCCUGAAAGUAUCCAUUAUUGAACGGAUUCGUGACGGUACCAGCAAGCAAGGUUGCCAAGUUGAUGAUCAUCCCGUCCACACCGACAUCGCCGUUGGGCGCCACCAGCGGCGGCGUCUGCGGGCCGUAAAUAGGCUGAUGAAACGGCCACGCGCAUUGCCCCGGGCACUGAGUCUCAGAGUUUCCAACCCAGACGUAAGCGGUACGGGUGUUUCCUUUCACGGGUCGGGUUGACCCGUGAGUCCCGCAGCGGCUCCGGCAGAAGCCAUCGACGGCGACGUCCUUGGCGGUGAGGAUGACGUUGAUGGCGGCGAGGUCGUUGAAGGUGGAAGCGAGUGAUACAAGGUGAGUUUGUUGGAGACUCUUCCCGAGGGUAUAGCUAGGGUGUAUGGUUUGCUUCCCUACGACGAGUGCAGAGGAUCCUGAUCCUAGCUUGUAAUUCUCGGUGGUUUUCCACCAUGAGGCUACGGAGGGAAGUGGGGCCCCUGGGGUGGUGGUGAGUGAGUUGAUGAAAUCAACGAUUAUGGAGCGUUGGAUUGGAGUGAAGCUCCCGUACCAGAAGAGAUUAACGGUGAUCCUCCCUUUGAGGAGUUCACCGUUGUGGUAUUUUAGAACCAGUGGUUGCUGCUCUACCAGCGCUGCACUCGCCGCGCCACACAGUAACAGAACCACAAAUGCAGUGGCAUGAUGGUAAUUAGACAGCACCAUUGUUUUGAGGGUCAAAGUUUGAAGAAUGAUAUGAAAUAUGAAAUUAGUAUUGUGUUUGUGAGGGGAGGGAAGUAUAUGUAUUUAUAGUGUGGGAAGAGGAAACAGGUGUUAAUUAACAUCAGAAGGGUUCCACGUGGAGGUUUGUAAUUUGCCACGACUGUUGCCAGGCUGUAAUGUGAUGAAGUGGAUGACGUGGCGUCAAAACUGGUGUCUAUUGAAACCCGCAUGCACGAAGAAGAGGAUUUGAUUUAUGAUGAAUUGACCUUUCUCAGUUCUCACUUUAAUUCACCAGUAAUGAUAUAUACACACCUCAUUUUUUAAACACUCUAUUUCCAUCUCUUUUUAUUUCUAUCUCUCUCCUCUUAUCAUCUAUCAUAUCUCAUACUUUCUCUUUCUUACUUUUUAUUUUCUUCCUAUCUCUCUCUUCCUUCCACCUCUUUCCACCUCUUAAAGAGAUGUGUACAUAACAUUAUUCUUAAUUCACACGCACACAGGGUUGCUAUAAUGCUAGCUGUUCAUGUAGCUAGCUACCACACAAUACCGUAUCCUAUACUCCUAUUAUAUACUAUACUAUACUAUACUAAUAUUAGCCAUGUAAUUUGGGUUGAGAUCAGGUAUCUGCAGAAGCAACACAGGUUUUGGGACCGAAUUAUGUGGGUCCAGUGUGGAAUUCCACACGCAAUGGCUACGAUGGGUCAUGGCAUGGACAGUGACGUUCUUUUCUUAAUUUUUCUUUGUUUAUUUUAAAUUUAACUAGUCUAGUAUCAGUAUGUAUAAUAAUAUAAUGGUACUAGUCAUAGGGUCAUGGCAUAUCUUAAAGUAGUAGAGGGUAAAUUAAAAAUAGUACUACUGCUAGUGGUAGAGCAGGUUACCUAGUGCGUGCCUGGGUUCUGUGACUGUGGGGGUUUAGGUGGGGGAGGUGAGGGGUCAGGAAGGUAUCAGGCUCCAUUACUCUAAUACGUCACCGUAUUCAUCAUAUCAUAUUUAAUUUACUCAUACACUAAAAAAAUGUCAAGUUAAUUGUGUUUGGAUAUAUAUAUUGUGAAUUUGUGAAACAACUUUCACCAUUUACAUUUUCAUUGAGUUUAAUAUAUAUAUAUAGAUUCACCUUAAAAUUAAUGUUUACGUGUCGUCAUAUGUAGUUGUAAUGUAAACUUAUCAACAAACACACUGCAUAUGUACCUAUACAAAAUUCAGAAUUCAAAUUUUUUCUCAUCCACUAGGUUUGCUUAAUUGCUUGCCUUUUCUUUAUUUUGUUUCUUCGUUUGUGCCCACUAGUGUUUUGAAAUUCUCAAGGAACAUAUUGGGACGGUGCCGACUCUAAAAAUUGCGCACUUUAACCACAAUACUUGGACAGAGCCACUUCCAUAUGUGAUUUUUUUUAUGGUUUUUAGAAUUCAAACCGAGACUCCAUGAUUACAUGCCCGGAUAGCAAGCCACUACUAGAAAACACUCAAAUUAGGACGGAAUUUUGCGACGGAAAAAAAUUCCGUCACAAAAUAAUUCGUUUGCGACGGAUUUAGCGACACUUUUUUGUCGCCAAGGUUUUUUAAAACAUUAAUUUAACAUUUUGGGACAGAAUACAAAUUUCGUCACAAUUUAGGGACAAAAUUAUAUAAAUUGUCGCAAAUUUGCGACGAAUAAUAAAAUUUCGUCCCAAUGGAAAUAUUUAUUUUGGAGGGAACCAAGGCGCCAAUUUUGGGGACGCAAUAAUUUAAUUAUUCCGUCCCAAUUUGUGACAGAGGUAGUAAUAAUUUUCCGUCACAACUGUUAUUUACAAAUUUAAUCUAUUUUUUGGGAAGAAGUUUGAAUUUUGUCACAAUUUCGUGACGACUAUAUAUAAACUGUCGCAAUGUGCGGACGACAUUUAUAUUCCGUCCCAAUAUAAAUAUUUAGUUUUGGGGGGAAAUCAAGGCACCAAAAUUGGGGACGCAAUAAUUUAAUUAUUCUGUCCCAAUUCGCGACUGAGGUAACAAUAAUUUUCCGUCACAAAUGUUAUUUAAAAAUUUAACCUUUUUUGGGACGGAGUUUGUAUUUUGUCACAAUUUCGUGACAAAUAUAUAUAAAUUGUCGCAAUGUGGGGACGACAUUUAUAUUCCGUCCCAAUUUGAAUAUUUAGUUUCGGGGGGAAAUGAAGGCGCCAACAUUGGGGACGCAAAAAUUAAAUUAUUCCGUCCCAAUUUGUGACGAAAUUAGCAAUAAUUUUCCGUCACAAAUUUUAUUUAAAAAUAUAAGCUAUUUUUGGGACGGAGUUUGUAUUCAGUCCUAAUUUUGUGACUAAGUUAUAAAAAUCGUCGCAAUGUGGCGACGACAUUUAUAUUCCGUCACAAUUUGAUUAAUUAGUUUUGGGGGAAAAACAACGCUUCAACUUAAUAAUACCUUGUCCAUUUUGAUAUGGGCUUAUACAGGUUACUCCGCUUAACUUGCAGGUUGCGGACUUGCUGACCAAUAUUUUUUACAUUUUAAAAAAUUUAAUUAAAAGUCCAAAGAGAAUAAGUUUUAAUCAUUAUUAUUUGAUUUGAUGAUAUUAAUAGAUUUUUGUAAAUAUCUUACAAUUUUGAAUAAUUGAUAAAUAUUUAAUUUUAUUUGUACUUUAUUUUCAUUUUUAUUACUUGGUCAGUCCCAUACAAUCCAAGUAAGUCGCAGACAUAUGUGUUGCAAACUCCGAGCAAUGAAAAGUCAGGGGCAUAUGUUUUGUGGAUCAACCCAGCCUAGUUCGUUUAUUUUUAGGCCACAUGGAAUGGCCUUAACAAAUUCUCAGGCAAAUUGAACUUUAAAUGAUUAUAUGCAGAUGUUGUAGUUAGGUUUCAUGUUGAUCUUACAGGUUUAAUAAACUCAAUGAGGCUUUGUGUUGUAUAUAAGGCACACCAGACCCAAUACAAAUCAAUGACAAACUUAUGGUCCAUCAAUUCCAUUUAGGCUUCGUAUUACGCACAAGGCUCAUUAAGUCCAAUAGAAGUCGAUUAUUGAUCUUAUAUGUCCAUCGAGUCCAAUUAGACUUCAUUUUGACCUUAGAGGUUACCCAGUACGAUAAUACCUCUAGUUGAUCUUCAUUAUUCAAUGGGUUCAAUCAGGCUUUUUUUUUACUUCAAAUGUCUAUCUGACCUAAUUAUGCUUCAUGUUGAUCUUAGAAGUUUGUAUAACCUUAUUAGGUUUCAUGGUAAUCUCUAGGGCCCAUCACAACAUAAUGAGGUUUGACUUCAUGCCGACCUCAAAUUUUUAGUUUUAACUUUUUUAAAUUAUAUAGAUAACACACACUUAUCUCAUACUCACUUCUUCUAUCGUGAUUAUACUCAUAAAAAAAUAUAUAGUUCGGAUAUAUAUUAUCAUAAUUAUAUAAGAUAUUCUUAAAGUAUAUAUUAUUACUUUUAUUUAAAAUAUAAAACCAAUACGUUAAAAAAAAACUUGUUACUAUUAAUAAAAAUAUAUUGGAAUUAUAAAAAAGAGAAUAUAGUAAAAUAAAAUAUACUUAUUUGGAUACUAAUUUUGUUUCAAUUUAUGUUUCAAUUUUUUCCCUCACUUUCAAUUUUUUUUCCCUCGUUCAUUCCUAAAUCCUGAAUUUUGUUUCCCUCAUUCCUAAUUUCUUGCCCUACAUUCUUUGCCUCACGUUUCAUUCUCUCUCUCUCUCACGUUUGAAUGCCGUCAGUGGUAGUGCCUGAUCGACGAUGCCCUCUGGAUUUUAGCUUCGCGAGAAUGGAAAACGCCGACGUUUUCCUCGGCUUACACGACUUCCGAUUUCGUCAAAGCAAUCAAAAGGUUCUUCUUCAUCACUCUGUGUAAAUCGUAAUCGUGAUUUAGGUUAGUUCAAUUUGGAACCCUCAAAUCUAGGGGCGAUUAUGCAGUUUCAUUGUUUCGUUUGAGCCACCGCCUUGUGCCUCUGAUAAUAUGCUAUACCCCAAUUUCCAGUAUGUUAUUUGGAGAAAGGCUCCUCUCUAUUUUUAUUGAUGGUUAUGUGUUUUGUUUAUGUAAGGAUGUGAGUUAUUUGAAUGUGGUAAAGGCCGACGUGUACUUACCUUAUGGAAUUUAUUUGUCUUUCCGCUUCUGCCCUGAGGAUAACAGAUAUACUAAUGGAUGCUGAGUGUUGUGGAUCCUACCUAUGUUGAACAAGCUACUUAGUUCAUUGCAGGACACAAAGUCAUUUUUUCAUCUGAGUACAAAGAUUGUUAUGCACACGUUGUUUCAUCCUUGAAAAGUUUAUUCCCGAUCCUUUGCUGGUUCAGAAUUAUGACGCCUUGAAGUCUAAAGAUGAUUUGAUAGCUGGUUUAACUCUUGCCAGCCCGAGCAUACUUCAGGUGACAGGUAUAUAUUACUUGUGAAAUUCUAAUUUCAUACCAAACACCAAAUUGGAAACAUUACAUGUGCCUUAGCUUUUUUCCUUCACUUUUAUAAUAUGUCUAUUGUCUGAUGUUAGAGUAUAAUAUAUGGUUGUUUAGGAAGACUUGAUCCUCAAUGUGGCUUGUGUAUGUAUCUUCAAUUCAUAGUAAGCAUGAAUUGAUGUCUGCGGCAAAGAUCUUAAACAUGUAUUUAGAUCCAAUGGUUAGAACAAUUAAAAUUAUUUUAUGAUUGCUCAUUUCUAUGACAGAUUGGUUGCAAUGUGACCAUUACGAAUGGAAGACCAUCCAUUGUCACUGUUGCCUUAGGUAAAGGGUAUUUUGAAACCUUAUAUACAUCUGAAUUCUUUCUGUUUAUUUACUACUGCUUUUCCAUGAAUACAACAACUAAAUUGUCUUUCACACAUCCAUUCUUCAGUUUGGUUAUGACCUUCUAGAUUGAGAAGCAAAAGAGGGAGAUUUAAGCACACAUAAAGAUGUUUGUGAACUAAGGAGAGACCUGAAUCCUAUGUUUGCAAGAGAUGCUUAAAGGCCUUGGUAAUAUUUUGAUUAUCUUAUGUUACUUUACAUUGUUCACUUAAAUCUUACUUUACUAGUUUAUGAUUCAUUUUUUUAAUUUCUUGUAACUGCAGCUGUUUAUGUUCUCUCGUGGAAGAACAACAAGGUAUCUGCUGGUGCACUUGGAGGUACUAAACUAUACUAAGAAAUGGUAUAUUAUCCUUUGUUGUUUUAGAUGCUCACUCGUGUAUUCUCUUUAGACUAGUUAUUGAGUGCUACUCGCAGGUAGAUUUCUUAUGGCAUGUUAAAUUAAAUAUACUUUUAAUCACUAGACAUGAAAACUAGUAAACAUAUUGGAGAAGUUUCAUACCAGCUAAUUUGUCUCUAUUGCUCUUCAUUAUUUGCGUACUGUUUACAAGCAGGUGUCUAUCUUCUUUAAGUGUCUUUGGUCCUUGUACAUUUAGAAUUAAUAUGUUUCUAAAAACUAAUAUUAAAUUUUUGUUUUCUGAAAAUUUCUAGCCUGGUACAUUUUGGUUAAAUCCUCCCCUUUCAUUAUUGUCUAUAAUGAAUAUUAUGUGCUUCUCUUCUAUGUAGCAAGCAUCAUGUAUAAGUUUUUGCAAGGAUAUGUUAAUAAAGCUCACAAAACUUGUGUAGUAGCUUGGGAAGGAACUCAGAUGAUGACAAAGGACAGGUAGAGGGAAGGACUUUGAAGGAAGUAUUGAAACCAAUUGAUGACGGUUAGUUCCUAUGCCAUCAUGCAUAAUGUGAACAUAAUCUCUUAGACUUAGAUCCAUCUAUCUAUCUGGUUACAUACAACAAAUAUGACAUUUUAUUAUUUUAUAGUCUUGUCUUUUUUCCAUUUAAUUUAGUUGCCUUGUAUUAUACGUUAUUGACACUAUGAAUCUGAUAGGGUCUAAUUAAUCUGAAACUCCCAACAAAGAAGUUCUAGCAACUCCCAACAAAGCACCAGCGGCAACCCCACUAGCUAUGAAGAAUUCAGAAUUGCAAACCCAGAUAAAUCUUGCUCUAAAAGAUCUAUAAAAAGCAAAAGAACAAUUGAGAAGCUAAAAGAAGCACAAAGAGUAACUAAGGAAGCAAAUGAGAAACUUAUGGAGGCAUUGGUGGCUCAAAAACGGGUUGAGGAGGAUUCUUAAAUUGAGAAGCUCCGCAGUUUUGAAUCCGGACAUGCUGGAAUUGAAGCUAUUCAAAAGAUGGAAGGGGAUGGUAGAAAGAGUAAGAAAGAGCUUUGAAGGUGUAAGGAACCAGCAUGCUUAGUAUGUGGCUUGAAAAUAAGUAAACUCUAAGUAAUUUUGGUAUUUUUUUUAUAGGUGUGAUCUUUAUGAAUUACAUGAAGCUUGUUGUUAAUUGAAAUUCAUUUAUCUCUUUGAUCAAUGAAGAGUUGAUUCUUGAUUAAUGUUAUUUUCAUAUUUUGUUAGUUAUUAUUGCAGUUUAAUUUGGGAUUUCUUACUAAUUUACUUAAAAUCAGAAUGUGAAGAAAAUAAAAAUGGCUAAAAAUUGGGGUGUUUUCAGUCCCAAAGCAAAUCUUCAACUCAGUGACGGAAAUAUUUCGUCACAAAUUUGGGACAGACUAUGUUGUUCUCAGUUCCGUCACAAAAUAUUAUUCUAUCCGUCACUAACUCCGUCACAAAAUAUUAUUAUAUCCGUCACUAACUCCGUCACAAAAUAUUAUUAUAUCCGUCACUAACUCCGUCACAAAAUUAUUAUUUAAAAAAACGAAAACUUAUUAAAUUCCGUCCCAAAAUGCGACGGAGUGAAAGAUUCUGUCGCAACUAAUUUAUUAUUUUCUGUCACAAAUUUCGUCACGAAAUUCAUAUUUUAAAAAUAUAAUUUAUUAUAUUUUGUCUCCAUUUCCGUCCCAAAUUUGCGACAGAGUAAUAAAUUCUGUCGCAAUAUUUUUGCGACGAGCAAUAUAGCGACGCAAUUUUUCGCGUCACAAUUCCGUCCCAAAAUUAUUUUGGGACGGAAAUUUUAACUAGUGUGCGACAGAUUUUUCCGCCCCAAAUUAGUGUUUUUGUAGCAGUGGCAUUAUCAAAGAGUAUAAAGAAACCAAGGACGCUAGCUCGCACACAACACACACGUGUACGGUGUACUUUUGGAUAGAGGAAAUAUACAUGCAUCAAAAUCACAUCAUUGAAAAGUUGAUAAAUAAAAAGCAAGCAGCUACUAAUUAAUAGUAAAAAGUUUGUUUGACCCUUUUGUCCCGGAAUUGCCACGUUUUGAUUUUGGGUUUUAGCCCAAAAAGAACGAAAGGGAAACAAGAAGGGAAUGUGAACGUGAAGCUUCGUUGAUGUGGCCUUUUUUUAAUAUAUAUAACUAGUCAAGAAAGAAAGAAGAACAGAAUUAUGAGAAGUGGAUAAAAAGAAGGGACAAGGCAAUUAGGCAAAAUGAUGGGUGAGAUACAUAGAAGGGUCACGUGUAAGAAGUAGAGAGGAACAAACAAGGAAAGGAUCAGUUAAUGCACAAUGAAGCAAGUAGGAUUAUGAUUAGGAUUAAUUCGACGCAGACCAAUGCCAAUCUCAGUUAAUGCAAGUUAGUUACGAUGGUACCCGCGCUGAUACGCCACUCAUGUACAAAGGAGAGCCAAAUAAACUCAAAUUCAGACUCUUAAUUGCUCUUAAUUGGUGAGGGUCAACUUUUGCAAAUUUAAUUUGCUAUACAAAUUCAACUUAAAAAUAAUUACUUUAUAAUAACUUUCUACAUUUUUUAGGAAACAUGAAGUUCUGGUUUAGUUCUAAUAGAAAAAAUUUGAUGAAGUAUUAACUUGAAAAGAGAGUUGGUUAGAAUUUCUCAUUUAAGGAGUUUGAUCAAUGCAUCCAUUCAAUUACUCGAGGAUUUGAUAGUGGAGGAAGUUCUUCAAAGGCUCAAAGAAGACACUUAAUAGUAAUGGUUAAAGUUUCUUAAUGACCUAAAGCAUGGAAAUCAUAUUGUUAAUCAUAUUGGAAAUGAUCGAGGAGGUUGAGACUGAUGACCACAAUGAUCCUAGAGUUGAUUGGCCGUCUGCCUACAACAAUAUUCUCAUUAAUUAAUCACCCAUCAUUGGGAUUUUGGAGAAAAAAUAAUGUCCCUUUACAUCAACUAUUCCUUCUCUUUUCACUCUGUAUAUUUAAUGAAACAAGUGGAGAGAAUACAUACUAGUGAUAUUUUCAAUUCUAUCAUAUCAAACAACCAUGGUUGUCAAUCUCUAGAGAUUACCUAAUCUCGUGAAGGGGAGGUAAUCUCAUAACGUAAUCUCAUAAGAGAUUACCUCAUGCAAAAAUAAUACUUUUAAAACUAUAACAAUGAUUAAGUCACACUAAUAGUACUAAAAAUUAUCCAACAAUGACAGUUAAAAUCAUGCAUAAAAUUACCAAAUAUCCAAACCUAAGGUACAUAAGUCAUAAAAAGUUAACAAAACAUCAAUACAAGUUAGGAUAAACUUAAAACAAGAACAAAUAAGUCACUAGGUAUCUAAAUUUAAGGCUUAAUUCCACUUUGGGCCCUGAUCUUUCAAAAAUGAGCGAUCGAGGCCCCCCGUGUUUAAACGUAGCGGUCAGGCACCCCAACGUUUCAAAAACGUGCGUUUCAAACCCUUCUGUUAAGUGUCGUUAGUUUGACUAACGGAACUAAUGACGUGGAUUUUCUUUUUCAUUUUAAUAUUUUUUUUUACCCAAAAAUCCCCCCCCCCCCCAAAUUCUUUCUCAAUCUCGACAUCUCUUCACUUUCUUCUUCAUUUUUCUCUGAAAACCCUAAAACCACACAACAUCAUCUUCUUCUUCAUGGUCGCCGCCGCCGCUCUUCGGCCAAGCCACCACCACCACGAGCUUCCUCACGCGAGCUCGCCGCUGGCCACACCACCAUCACUGCGCCUCCUUCUUCUUCUUCUUCUUCUUCCUUGAGAGCCACCGCCGCUGGCCACACCACCAUCACUGCGCCUCCUCCUUCUUCUUCUUCCAUGAGAGCCACCGCCGGUCACACCAUCACCUCCUCAUCAUCCUCGCGCGAACCUAAAGGGCAGCCACCAUGGCCACCACGUGGAAGCCAUCACCACCAUGAAAACCUAGGAUCGCCGCCUUCAAAGUCCGAUCUACGGUGAACCGCUCACGAUCUCGACAAACCAACACCACCGCUGUGCUCAUCUCCUCGUCCGCAACAAAACCCACAAAGAAAUUUCCGAUUCCGACGACCUCCGCCGUGAACCGCCGUGCGCCGCCGCCGGAGGCGAUUUCCGGCGACUCGCCCUCUUCUCCUCUUCUCUUUCUCUUGCUAAAUUAGGGUGAAAUUAGGGUAAAACAUUGGAAACAAAUCCUAAUUGUGGUAAAGAUGCUGAUCAGUGUGAUGAUGAUAAGUGUAAGAGUGCAUUUGAAAGCAUUUCUGCUAUUUCUGCUCUUUAUAGUGAUGACAUUCCUGCAGAUAAGUUAACAGAUGAGAUGAAGAAAUUGAACAUGAACCAUUCUGAGGGUGUUGAUAUCACGAGAGAUUCAAUGAAUUCAUUUGUAAAUAGUAAAGCUAGUUUUGUGUUUGGAGGAAGUGACAAGGUUUUUGGCUGUGUUAAUGAUAGUUCCGGAGUUAAUCUUGAUGGUACUGAUGCUGAUUUUGAUAAUAUUGGAGGGAAACAUGUCAAAGCAUGCAGAGAAAAUGACGUUCAAAAUGAAAUUGGUUGCGGUUCUGCAGGAAUACCUUGCACUGAGCCAUCCACUAGUCAGGAAGGUGCCAGAGAUUUCCAGGGUGGGGGAAUUGGGUUUGUGAAUUGAGUGGGAAAAUCCUGGGUCAAAAAUUUAAUGUUAAACUAAAAAAAAUUCCACGUCAAUUAAUGAAAGGGCCUCCGUUUGGUCAACUAACGGAGCUUAACAGAAGGGGCUGGAUCGCACGUUUUUGAAACGUUGGGGUGUCCGACCGCUACGUUUAAACACGGGGGGCCCCGAUCGCUCAUUUCUGAUACAUCAGGGGCCCAAAGUGGAAUUAAGCCUAAAUUUAAAAUCCUACAACACCGUCGAACUUAGAACAACUAGAAUCAUCAUCUCCAUCAUCUCCAUCAUCACCAUCAAGUUUUUCCUCAGAUGAGAUAGACUUGGACUCUCCAACAUUAGAAUCAAUAACCAAUUUCUCAAUGUUGUCUUGAACUAAUACAAUGAUAUCCACAAUAUCAUCAUGACCAUCCAUCAAUAUCAUUCUCCUCUAUAUCCACCUCUUUAGUUAUCCAUUCAUCAUCAUAUUGGAUUUCAUCAAAAGGAGGAGGAAGUCGCGUCGGAGGAGGAGGAAGUUGCGUUGUUGGUCGCACGAGAGGAUGAGUGAAGGAUGCGCACGCAAAGAUGAGAUAAGAAGUGGAAAGAAUGAAAGAGUUGAGUGACAAGAACGACAGAGAUGAGUGAAAACCCUAAAAUUUGUGGGUUAAAUGACUGAAAUGGCCUUAGACAAAAUAAUUUUUGACAUUUUUAACAAAACAAACCAAUCUCGUAAUCUCGUGGUAAUCUCGAGAUAUUACACGAGAUUAAGAGAUAUCUCGAGAUAUCAGCCGAGAUUUGAAAAAACAACUAUUACCCACCGCUAGUCUCGUUUUUAGUACGUGAUAUCGUAAUCUCGUAAGAGAUUAAGAGAUAUCUCUAGAGAUUAACAACAAUGCAAACAACUAUAAAAAUCUACUUAUUUCUCAGUACUUUCUCUCUCCUCAUCUUAUUUCCUCUCAACUUCUCUUUUUACAUAUAUUUUUUUUUCUACCAACAAGCACACCAUUAAGUAACUCUCACCAUCUAAACACAUCUUGAAUUGAAUAUCAUAACAAGCAUAUGAGAUGAAAUUUAUUUCCCAUUCGAUUAUUUUAUGUCAUCGAUUUGUUUGUUUUGAAAGUAUAUAUCAUCCGUAAUUAUUAUCUUCCCCAAUAAUAUCAAAUCCGUAUCUGUGCUUUCAUCACCUGCAGGUUGGCUAUGGUCUGGCGUGCCCCUACGAGAUGUGUGUCUCUCAACCUCCUCCCCUUCAUCAAUAUCUCGUGCAUUCAUGGAUAUUGAGGAUAAUGGUCUAUAUACGCACGUUAUUAAUCUUAAUUAUUGUGAAUACUGAAUAUUGAAUAGUUUGUCUCAUCCUUUUAUUUAAAAUACUAUAUCAACUAAAUGUAUAUCACAUUUAAUACUUUAAAUCUUAGAAAUAUUUAAAGAACUAAAAAUAAAUUGUUUGUUUGUCAGGAAUAUAUCAAUUAUCUAUGAAAUUAUUCUACAUGCCAAUCAUUUGGUAGGAGGUGAGAGCAUUUAUGAAACCUAGCCCCACGCCUCACCAAUGAGGAAUGAAACCCAUUGUGACAAAAACAAAAGUACAUACAGUUCACAAUAAUGCAGUGUAGAAUAUGGGGGCACCUACAUUCUAGUUGCUACAGCUAGCUAGCUGCCUUUGGUGCAUUUUGGUGAAGACAUGUUUCUUCCUUUGCGGAGGUUAUAGAUUAACAUUUAAUAAAUGCAACUUUAGGGACCAUGGAAUCUCUUCAUUUUUCAUGAAAAAGAGGGGACAACCAAAUGAGAGUUUUGGGCGUCAACACCUACCCAAAGCCGCGCCGUUCCAAAAUUGUUUGGACUUUGGAUGGUGGUAGUAGUACGUAGGUGGCUAAAUAAUCUUCAUGGAAAUUAAACAAUAUAUCAGAGUGGUGUUUUACAUAAUUUUAAUUGAAGACUUGUUUUACGUUAUUACAAUAAGUAUGAACUAUGAAUAUACCUAAAAUGAUUUGUGUUUGGACUUGAGGUGAAAUUAAUUUUUGUCUUGAAACGCGUGUGAACUAAAAACCAAAUACACACUAGUCUUGUAAAAGUAUGCUAAGUUCGUAAGAUUUAAGAAAGUGCACAUAAAUAUUUCACAAGGAAGACUCUGACUAAAUUCCUUAUGAAAUAUGUUGCUCUAACUUCUUAGACAUUAAUAUAUAUAUAUAUAUAUAUAUAUAUUUUAAAAAUUUGUUAAAGUAUUUAUCUUAUAUUAAUUAUGUUUGACUGAAAUAUAGUUUAAAUUAUCCACUAGAAUUAUCAUCAAUUAUUUAUUUGCUAGUCUAUAACUAUAUGUAAUUAAUAUUUUUCUUUACUUUUCGUAACUUCAAUUAUUUUACUUAUUUUGAAACAAAGAAAAACUAAUUGUUUUGGAUAUAGACUAGAAAAAUCCCCUCAAACAGUGUUAUAGUUACUCGUUGUACUGGCCCUAACAGCAGAAUAAUGACCAUAAACCUCAAGAAAUGACAAAUCACUUGCCUUUGGAAGGGAAACUUAGUUUGUCAUAGCAUGUCUCGUUGCCCAAAUGGUUUUCCUAUGCCGAGUUGCCUCUGUGAGCUCCCAUGUCAAAAUUUGGAAAUUAUUACCCCGAUGAUGGAUUUUCCAAGGCUAACCUAUGAGAAUUUCGGUGGAAAAUAAGUUUUCAAAGUAAAAUAUCAAGUUGGAAAGGAAAAUUGGUUUGCAACGGCUUGCCUCGUUGCCCAAAUGGUUUCCCUAUGCCAAGGUGCCCCCGUGAGCCCCCAUGUCAAAAUUUGAUAAUUCUUGCCCCGAUGAAGGAUUUCCCAAGGCUAACCUAUGCGAAUUUGGGUGGAAAAUGAGUUUUCAAAGGAAAAUAUCAAGUUGGAAGGGAAACUUGGUUUGCCACGACUUGCCUCGUUGCCCAAUGGUUUCCCUAUGCCAAGGUGCCGCCAUGUGCCGCCAUGUCAAAAUUUGGGAAUUCUUGCCGCGAUGAUGGAUUUCCCAAGGCUAACCUAUGCGAAUUUAGGUGGAAAAUGACUUUUCAAGGAAAAAUAUCAAGUUGGAAGAGACUCUCAGUUUUCCAUGGCAUGCCUCGUUGCCCAAAUGGUUUCCUUAUUCCAAGGUGCACCCCUGAGCUCCCAUGUAAAUAUUUGGGAAUUCUUGCCCCCAUGAUGGAUUUCCUAAGGCUUAACAUAUGCAAAUUUUGGUGGAAAAUGAGGUUUCAAUGGAAAAUAUCUAGUUGGAAGGGAAACUUGGUUUGUCAUUGCAUGCCUCGUUGCCAAAAUUGUUUCCAUAUGCCAAGGUGCCACCGUGUGCUCCCAUGUCGAAAUUUGGGAAUUCUUGCCGCGAUGAUGGAAUUCCCAAGGCUAACCUAUGCGAAUUUGGGUGGAAAAUGAGUUUUAAAGGGAAAAUCUCAGGUUGGAAGAGAAACUUGAUUUGCAAUGAUAUGCCUUGCUAACCAAAUAGUUUCCCUAUGCCGAGUUUCCCCCGUGAGCUCUAAUGUCAAAAUUUGAGAAUUCUUGUCCCAAUGUUGGAUUUCUUAAGGCUAACCUAUGCGAAUUUGGGUGGAAAAUGAGUUUGCAAAGGAAAAUAUCAAUUUUGAAGGGAAUCUUGGUUUACCACGACUUGCCUCGUUGUCCAAACGGUUUCCCUAAGCCAAGGUGCACUCGUGAGCUCCCAUGUCAAAAUUUGAGAAUUCUUGCCCCGAUAAUGGAUUUCCCAAGGCUAACCUAUGCGAAUUUAGGUAGAAUAUGACUUUUCAAGGGAAAAUAUCAAGUUGGAAGGGACUCUCGGUUUGCCAUGACAUACCUCAUUGUCCAAAUGGUUUCCCAGUUCCAAAGUGCACCCGUGAGCUCCCAUGUAAAAAUUUGGGAAUUCUUGCCCCGAUGAUGAAUUUCCCAAGGCUAACAUAUGCAAAUUUGGGUGAAAAAUGUGGUUUCAAGGUAAAAUAUAUAGUUGGAAGGGAAACUUGGUUUGCUAUGACAUGCCUCGUUGCCAAAAUUGUUUCCUUAUGCCAAGGUGCCCCAUGUGCUCCCAUGUCGAAAUUUGAGAAUUCUUCCCGCGAUGAUGAAAUUCCCAAGCUAACCUAUGCGAAUUUGUGUAGAAAAUGAGUUUUAAAGGGAAAAUCUCAAGUUGGAAGAGAGACUUGGUUUUCCAUGGCAUGCCUCGUUGCCCAAACGGUUUCCCUAUGCCGAGUUGCCCCCGUGAACUCCCAUGUCAAAAUUUUGGAAUUCUUGCCCCGAUGAUGGAUUUCCCAAGGCUAACCUAUGCAAAUUUGGGCGGAAAAUGAGUUUUCAAGGAAAAAUCUCAAGUUGGAAGGGAAACUUGGUUUGUCAUGGCAUGCCUCGUUGCCCGAAUGAUUUCCUAAUGCCAAGGUUCCCCUGUGAGCUCCCAUGUCAAAAUUUGAGAAUUCUUGCCCUGAUAAUGGAUUUCCCAAGGCUAACCUAUGCGAAUUUGGGUGGAAAAUGAGUUUUCAAGGUAAAAUAUCAAGUUGGAAGGAACUCUUGGUUUGCCAUGGCAUUCCUCGUUGCCCAAAUGGUUUUCCUAUCCCAAGGUGCACCUGUGAGCUCCAAUGUCAAAAUUUGGGAAUUCUUGCCCCGAUAUGAAUUUCCCAGGCUAACAUAUGCAAAUAUNNNNNNNNNNNNNNNNNNNNNNNNNNNNNNNNNNNNNNNNNNNNNNNNNNNNNNNNNNNNNNNNNNNNNNNNNNNNNNNNNNNNNNNNNNNNNNNNNNNNNNNNNNNNNNNNNNNNNNNNNNNNNNNNNNNNNNNNNNNNNNNNNNNNNNNNNNNNNNNNNNNNNNNNNNNNNNNNNNNNNNNNNNNNNNNNNNNNNNNNNNNNNNNNNNNNNNNNNNNNNNNNNNNNNNNNNNNNNNNNNNNNNNNNNNNNNNNNNNNNNNNNNNNNNNNNNNNNNNNNNNNNNNNNNNNNNNNNNNNNNNNNNNNNNNNNNNNNNNNNNNNNNNNNNNNNNNNNNNNNNNNNNNNNNNNNNNNNNNNNNNNNNNNNNNNNNNNNNNNNNNNNNNNNNNNNNNNNNNNNNNNNNNNNNNNNNNNNNNNNNNNNNNNNNNNNNNNNNNNNNNNNNNNNNNNNNNNNNNNNNNNNNNNNNNNNNNNNNNNNNNNNNNNNNNNNNNNNNNNNNNNNNNNNNNNNNNNNNNNNNNNNNNNNNNNNNNNNNNNNNNNNNNNNNNNNNNNNNNNNNNNNNNNNNNNNNNNNNNNNNNNNNNNNNNNNNNNNNNNNNNNNNNNNNNNNNNNNNNNNNNNNNNNNNNNNNNNNNNNNNNNNNNNNNNNNNNNNNNNNNNNNNNNNNNNNNNNNNNNNNNNNNNNNNNNNNNNNNNNNNNNNNNNNNNNNNNNNNNNNNNNNNNNNNNNNNNNNNNNNNNNNNNNNNNNNNNNNNNNNNNNNNNNNNNNNNNNNNNNNNNNNNNNNNNNNNNNNNNNNNNNNNNNNNNNNNNNNNNNNNNNNNNNNNNNNNNNNNNNNNNNNNNNNNNNNNNNNNNNNNNNNNNNNNNNNNNNNNNNNNNNNNNNNNNNNNNNNNNNNNNNNNNNNNNNNNNNNNNNNNNNNNNNNNNNNNNNNNNNNNNNNNNNNNNNNNNNNNNNNNNNNNNNNNNNNNNNNNNNNNNNNNNNNNNNNNNNNNNNNGCAGCGAGAUCGUCCGAGACUGUAGCGAGAGGGCUCAGGAAACACUGUAGGUUUAGGAUUGUGGCAUGGAACAGAGAAAAGAGAUGUGAUGCUGCUAUUCGGUAGCCUGCUGUGGUGAAGUUCUGCCGGUUAAAGAGAAGGAGGUCGUGCUGGAUCUAUUGCGCAGAUACACAGGGCACUUUUUUCUAUUACCUUAGGAAUAUGAUAUCAACACUUAUAUAUAUAUCAUUUGCAUCACAAUGCUGUUAAAUUCUUGACAUUAUGGGACUUGCUUGCUAUAAAUUUGGAAACAAAGCUUUAAUGUGUUUUGCCUAUGAAAAGUUAAGGUAAGGUGAAUAAGGACUUAUCCUUUUAUAUAAUUAUGGUUGCGUUUGGAAGAGUUUAUUUGAGCUAUUCGUAUAGUAUUAACAUUUAUGCAAGUGUUGCCAACAUGGGUUGGCAGAGCUAGCUUCAGGUUUCGGGUUUAACUCUCACCUCCCCAUAGGUUGAGGGUUCGAAUACCUCUGGGAUCAAUGAAAUCCCAGUUGGUGGGCAACCCUCCUCGGGGAGAUCCCUCGACGCUCCCCUCUGCGCCCUGCCCGGUAGUCUGGAGGUGCUUAUCUCUUCGUAAAAAAACACAUUUAUGCAAGUGUUUGAGAAAACUUGUGAAAAGAGCUUAUAGGUUUUGAGCUUAUUUCAUAAGCUGCCCAUAAUAGCUUAUGAACAAGCGCGCCGUUUAUACAUAUCUAUCAGCUUCCAAAUUAGCUUAUGAAUAAUCGCUUAAGAGGUUUUUGUCUCUUUCAGUACUUAUGUGUUCUCUUGUUUGACAUUCUCCAGCCCUAGUGGACAGCAGUUUGUGUCUUGCAAGGAGGUUUCGGCGUAUUUGCAGUCCCUUUUCGGUCAGGCUGAACCACAAUUAAAAAUCAGUUGUAGGAAUGAAAAUAUUCUGCAGGAGCAGAGAGUGACUACGGAGAACGUAAGUAUACAUGCACACCACCCUUGUUGAUCUGUUGUGAUAUUGUUGCAGUGAUUUAUGGGGUUGUGCUGCAGUCUGCAGGUGUUACUGGUGAGGAUCAAGAUCAGAGGCAGAUUGCAGCGACUAACUCGGAUGUGCCUGGUUUAUCUGUUUCUAAUGAACGAGUGAAGGAAGUUUCCUUGUUAGGGAUUGAGAAUCUUGCAGAUGUGCAAAUACAUGACCUGUUUGAAUGUCACAAAUGCAGCAUGACCUUUGGUGAGAAAGAUUCAUACUUGCAGCAUCUGUUGUCCGUUCACCAGAGGACGACCAGGCGGUACCGACUUGGUUCUACUGUUGGAGAUGGAGUUAUAAUUAAAGAUGGAAAGUUUGAGUGCCAAUUCUGCCAUAAGGUGUUUCUAGAAAGGCGUCGCUACAAUGGUCAUGUCGGGAUCCAUGUUAGGAAUUAUGUGAGGAGAGUUGAAGAUUCACCAGGUCAGACAAAUGUCCAAAGAGCAGACAAAUCUCCGGUCCUGGAGGAGGUGCCUUCAAGGAUCUCUAAGAUGGAUGCGCUCAUUGAAAUUGCUCAAAACUCUAUUAUGGAGGAUUCUGUCAUGGAACCCCAUAAUUCAGCUAAAAUGAAUGUGAUACCCGAUUCUGAAAUUGCUGUUGGUGACUUUGACCAAGACAUGGACUUUGAAUAUCCUACCGAUGUGGUGGAUGAUUUAAAUCUGCAAUGUAGCACGCAUUUACUCAUGAAUGGAAAAGGAGAUGAAAUUGAUGAUUAUAACCAAGUUAUUGAUGCAGAGGGGGUUACUCUUCUAGAUAGCAUGGAUUUGUCAUAUGUAAACGAGCAAAAUGUCCAUGUAUCUGGUACUUCAAAGGGAAAAGAAGAUGUUGCGUUGACAGCUGCGGGGUUUGGCCAGUCUGGGAUUGAUUUGGAAGUGGUUUCUCAAAGCCCUUUAUUUCCUUUAUCUGGUUGCACUAACAGUAAAGGGCAAUUCAAACUUGAUGAAGACAAUAGCAAGAACAGUGAGUUGAAAUUUAGUUUAGAUGGCUGCAAGGAUGUACCUGUUAGGGCUGAUUUUCAAGAGAUAGUCAUGUCAGUUUCUGAAGAAGUUGUGGUCCAUUCUAGCAUUUCUAACCGCUCUAUAUCCACAGAACAACCUCUGGAUUGUUUUCCAGCCUUCAGCUCUGAUAAGAUAUAAGGCAUAACCUAUGGCGCCUUUAAUGUUAGGGUUUCAUGUAUGUUGAAAAACUGAGGGAAUAUUCCUACACCUAUCAUAUCAAGGUCCUCUCAGAAAGUGAUUGAUUUGAGGCUAGCAUGUAUUCUGGUUUUAUGUUGUAUUGAACCAUUGCUGUAAUAUUACAAAGCCCUUGGUGCACUUUUCUUGGAUUUUCAACACAUCCUGUUUAUUGUCUAGGCAAUUAUCCUCUAAGUAAAAUAACUGUAAAAUAACGGUUGAUGUUUUGCUUAGCAUGAGGACAUACAUCUGUUGACAGGAAAAGUUAUGAUGGCUGCACAUUAGAAUCUACUCAGAGGAGGACUUCUUCUUCAACUUAGGUUGUUCAAUUUCCUGAAUCAUUCUAAUUUCUAACAACAACUUCCGUUCUGACUUUAUGUUACCAUGUGUAAAAUUCGGACCCCCCUCAGAAUGAAUGAAAGCAAUUCCUUUGGCAGCUCCAAGUGCAAACUUCAAUCUUGAAUCCCAGUCUAACUGAGUUCUUCCUUGAACCUCAUCUCCUAAUGUUUGGAAUAGAAAAAUUUGGCAACGAAUUACUACAAUUGACAUUUCUUAAAGCUUAUCUAUAGUUAUGAAAGCAGUGUGUUAAAGCAUUUCUUAAAGCUUAUCUAUAGUUUUUUUUAUAGUAGAUAAGUUUUAAUAAAUGCUCUUUAGUUCGUAUAUCCAAACAAAAUCUAUAUAAAGCAGUGUGUUAGAUUAGAACGUACCAUGCAACAAGUGAAACAAGCUUCCUUUUGGCAUGUAGUCAUAAACUAGAAGUAUCUCAUCUUUGGCCUGAUGAUAAGCUCGAAGAGGCAUGACAUUGGAGUGGCGUCCAAUUCUCCCUAAAAUUGCCAUUUUCAACCUUGUGGCAUCCAAAUCUUUCAACCUUUUUACUACCACUAUCGUUCCCUUCUCCAUAGAGCUAGACUAGACCACAAAUUAUCAUUGUUAUUUAGAGUUACUAAAAUGGCUAACUGAUUUAUCUUUGUUUGUUCGCAAAAUUACAUUAUAGAAGUUAAAACAAAUGGAAGUUUCUUGUUUAAUAUAAAAUAUCCCUAGUAUAAAAUCAUUUUCAAUAGACACCAAGUAGAAUUUUCUUUAUGAAAUACAAUUAAUAAUGAAGUUUUUAUUUUUAUGAUGUGAUGAGAUAAGAAAAGAAAAGAAAAAAGGUGAAUAUUUACAUACCAUUUUCAGCCAAAUCAAGAGAGAUGUAAUAUAAGAGGAAGAAAUAAAAAAUAUGAUAUAAUAAGUAAAGAAGAGAGAUAUAAGAAUAUAAAAAUAGUUUUAAUAAUUUUUAGUGCAUAUAUGGUAGUAAAUUUUAAUGCGUACAUAUUAAUAUUUUUUAGUGCAUAUAUUUAUAAUUUUCCCGUAUGCGUACUGUAUUAUUAUCAAUAUUAUUAUUAAUUUUUCCAUAUUAUUAAAAAUUAAUGUGGAUCAAUUUUUCCAUAUGCAUAUUAUUGACAAUUUAUUAAAUAACAAUAUUAUUAAUAAUUAAUUAAUAUUAAAAAUGAAAAUUGAAGAAGAAAUAAAAAAGUUAAUUUCUUAUUUUACUAACCUACGUAGGAUACGACAAUGAGAGAUUACAGCGGCUUAAACCGCCGCUAUAUGUUAGCUAUUACGUUGGUUAUAACUAUCACUACUUGCAAGCUGAAAAUCAAUAUGAAUAUAUUGUGGCGUUUUGAGUCAUCGUUUACUUCCAAAAUUGUCCGCAACUUUAUUUAUUGCAUAACACGUCGGUUGUUGUGGCGGUUACCUAUUAACCGUCAUUUUAUACCAUACGUCGAAUGUAAUUACGUCGUUUGGCGGAACCAACAUUUUUCUGGAUUACAUCGGUCGAAACCAACGUAAUUAACAAAACCUAACUACCACAAUUAACACAUUUUUUGUAGUGUGUGAUCUAGGGACCACGUCCCUAUUUAUUGGUAAUAAUCUAUAUAUUUAUUUCUAUCUUAACCCAUUUCAUAACUAAAACAGAAAUAUAUUUAUGUGUCUACACAUUAAAGACAUAAAUCAUAACAUUAUGAUCUUAAUUAACUGAAAUCUUACCUUAUAAUAUCAGGUAUCACAAAUAAGGGUGAGAAUAGGCUGAGCCUAAGUAGGCUUUGCGUAAAUAGGCCUAGCAUGUUUAAAAAUCUUAAGGCCUGAGCCUAACCUGUGGCAUGUCAAAGGCUUUUUUUCGAGUCUGGCCUGGCCUGGUAGCCUAUUUAAAGGCUUAUUUCACAACAAGAGUUUUACGUUUGCUAACAAAAUUAUUUGUAAAGAAGCUAUUAAACUUAUAAACUAACAGGUUAAAUUAUACUAAAAUAUUUUUUUCAACAAUCAGACUCAUAAUAUUAUAAGCUAUUAGGUAGAAAUGAAACUAAAUGAGAGAUUAUGUUGGUUUCUUAGAGUCGGAGAGCCAGUAUAAAAUCAAACUUUAUAUUAAGGUAUUUAAAUACGUUAUAUAUCUAUUUCUAAAUAGACUUAUAACUUUAAGUCAUUAUAUAAGUCAAUUUGUUUAAAUAUAUAAAGAUGUCAAUAAGUAUAUAAUCUAUCCAUAUAUAUAAAUAAAGCACACUUGAAUCAUUACAUCAAAUACAUUAGUAAAUAUUGCAUGUAUUAUAAUGCAUUAAGUAAUAACAAAUUUAUCUUUGUAAUAAAUAUAUUAAAUAAUAAGAUUAAAAACUGAAAAAAAAAUUGUAUUAUCAAAAGCUAUUCAACUACCUACAUUAAAUAUUCACAAAAAUACCUAUAUUAAAUAAUAACAGUUAUAAUUUUAAAAAAUAACUUGAGUUGACAAAUAUUAAGAAUUAAAAUUAAUUAAUUAUAAAUAAUAUUUAUAAUUAAUUAAUUAAGAUAAAAUAGAAUUAAAAUUAAUAAAUAUUAGUUAUUAUGUAAUUAUUGAUAGUUAAAAUUAUCAUAGAGUAAUUUUUCUAUUUAACUACAUAUAUGAUGAUAAAUAAGUUAAAUAUAUUAAAAACUAAGUUAAUUAAAUUAGGAGAUAUAUAUUAAAUAUGUUAUACAUGUCAUGUUAGUUAUAAAAAAUAAUAGAAUAAUUAAAUUAAAUUUAUUUGUCAAAAUAGUUUAAUUUUAAAAAUUUUGGUUGAUAAUAGUUAUAAUUUUGAUUUAAAAUAUGUUUUCUAAUAAUAUCCAUGGCCGGUCCCGACAUUUUGGAGGCCCUGGGUUAAUAAUAAAAAUGGACCCCUAAAUUUUAUUUUGGAGAAAGUUUAAUAGGAACACUAAGCAAAAAAAAAAGGCCUUUUACAGCGCUUCGGACCUCUCGCCGCUGUUAAAUAGUAUACAGUGGUACGAAGCGCUGUAAAAGAUUAACUAUUUACAGCGCUUUUUUAAGUAAAAAUGCUGUAAAAAGUAUUCGAAUUUUUUUUUUCGGACCCCUUCUUUUUUGGAGGCCCUGGGCAGUGGGUCUGCUUGCACAGGCCCAGGGCCGGCCCUGAUAAUAUCUAAUAUGAUUUUAUAACUUCCUCUGAGGUUUAUCAUUGUUGAACUCAUCUACAAUAAACUAAAAAUGUAGUAUGAAAUGAAGUAUUUAAUAAACUUCCUAAAGGAAAUUAUAUUUGAUAUAGCUACAAUAUUUCUUCAUUGAUAAAAAAAUAACAAUCAUUCUUAACCAACUUUCGUUUGCACCUAAUUAUGGUACACGAGUUUAAGAAUCUUUUUAACUAAGUUCCUAUAAUUUAUUUGUGUUAACCACAUGUAUCAUCUACUGAAUGAAUCGUGUUCUACUCAAGUGUAUCAUAAAGUGCAUUCCUUAAGGAAGGAAUCUCAAAGAUCCAAUGAGUUAAUUUUAAAAAUUGUAAUAGACAUUCAUUAGGUUGAACGAUUUGUUAUUUCAAAUUGUCAUAUGAGGUUAAUUAUAAUUCUUUACUUUCUAUAAAACUAUAAAAAUUUAUCGAAUAAGUUGAACAUAUAAUCACCAAAUAAGUUGAAAAUUAUUUUUAUUAAAGAAACAUAAAAUAUAUAAUAUGUGCUUUAAUAUACUAAAAAAUUAAUCCAAGAGGGAUAGCUCAGUUGGCAACGCAGACUGAGUGUGUGAAGAGCCCUCGGGUUUGAUCCCCACAUAAUAAACUAUAGGGGAAGGAUAAAGAACCUUAAUUAUGACUAAAUCUUGAAUCUGUCGCUAUAUCCAAAGGGUGACCGAUACCUAAUGUUUAUGAAAAAAAAAUCUAGAAAAUUAGUGCACAAUUUUUUUAUUGAGCUUCAUUAAUGUAAUUACAUUACAUAUGUUUAUCAUAUUCUUAAUUAUCUACUAUUCAAUAAUUUUUCAUACUACAUAAACUAUUUUUACAAAUAAUAGACACAUAACUUAAAAGCAAACAUGUGCAACACACGGGUUUAAUUUCUAGUAUUAAAAUAUUAUGAUAAUUUUCUAAUAUAUAGACAUCAUCAAUAGUAAAAUAUAUUUAUACUAAUCAUAUUUACAAUGUACCAGAAAAAUACUAAUUAUUUUUACUUAAAUAGGCUAGCCUGUAAGGCUUAAAAGACUUUUUAAAUGGCCUGAGCCUAGCCUUUUUAACUAAAUAGGCUUUUCAAAAAGCCUAAGCCUUGCCUAUUUACCAAUUUGGCCUGGCCUGGCCUGUGGUAGACUAAGCCAUAGGCCCCUACGAACGGUCUGACCUAUUCCCACCCCUAAUCACAAAUUGACAAUCCAUAGUUCACAAUUAUUUACAUAUAUAGCCCAAUAUUGUAUAAUGAUCCAACAUUUACAACCAUAUUUAUAAAUUGACAAUCCAUGGUUCAAAAUUAUUUACAUAUAUAAAUGGCUUAACUAUGUUGGAGGUCCCUCUAAAAUAUGGAUCAUUUGGUUAAGGUCCCUUACAAAACUUUUUGAGUGGAAUAAGCACCUAAUGUGAAAAUAAUAUAUAAUGAUAAGCCCCUGUUGUGAGGUUCCGUUUAAUCUUUUAUGAUUCUGCAAACGGCGCUGACGUGGAUUAUAUUUUGUAAAAAUUAUUCAAUUAAAGAGGGUGCCACGUAAGUAAAUUAGGGUUGAUAAAAUAAAAAUAAAACAAAAAGGAGCUACUUGAGUCUAGUUGAAUUUGCGAACAUAGGAGAUAAAUCCAAUGAUGACAUCAUACUCCUUGACCUCCAUUGAAUUUACAAAGUGGUACCAUAACUUCAGCACGGGAUUCUGAUAGUCUCUAACCACACUACGUCUUAUUCUUUUCAACUUGACAUGUGUCAUCACUGAAAAUGAAUAUUAUUCCAAGUUUACCUAUCAAGUCAUGAAUUUAUAUUUAUAUUUUGGCUUAAAUACUCUGGAAGUCCUUGGAAUUGUACCCCGUACGAAAAUAAGUCCUUGAAAUUUGUUAUUCAAAUUCUGGGUCCCUGAAAUUUUUCUUUGAAUCUAAAUAAGUCCCUACCUGUGUUUCAUGCUUAUGUGCAGUGGCAGAACCAGAAUUUUUGUGGAACCUGGGCAAGUUUAAGCCUAAAUACUCGCACCUGAUGCCUGACCCAGGGUUUUAAACUGCGAUUGCGGUUGCAAGUGCUGCGGUUUUAGACAUUGCGAUGUUACGGCGUGAAUAGCCUAUUGCAAUGACAAUUAUGUCUCAUUCUCAAUUAAACACUCAACCCUAACAUAUAAGUACAAUCCAUAGUUAUCAAGUUCGUCAUACACUUCGUGGUAUGGGUACAAGUACGCGGUACGCGACUUAUAAAGUAUGCAGUACGAAGGGGAUAUACAUAGUCAGUUGUAUAUAUAAUUUGAUUUGAACUUAAAUUUUACGUUAAAAAAUCAAAGAUGUAGUGUAGUAGAGAGGAUGCCAUCACAUUAAAAAUUAUAAACUUGGGAAAGUUGAAACCAAUAUCACCUUUAACAAAUAUUAAAUAUAUUAAAACUGAUUAAAAGUUAAAAUGUGAUAAGAAUGAAGCGGGUUAGUAAAAAGGUGAUAAAUUGCUUUUUGAACUCAAACAAAAUAUGAGGAAAAAUUACAAUUGUGUUGUCCCAAUUGAACUAACAUAUACACUUGAAGGCCCAAACUAAACUAAAGAUAAAACUUGACAAAAAAAAAAAAAGAACUAACAGUAACAUAGAAGCUAACCUAGUUAUUUUGUGAAUUUUAUCUAUAAGUCUAUCCAAUUGUGAUUUCUAGUGAGGUGGCAUAAUAGCAAAGGCUUAUCACUGACAUAAACAACAUUUCACACUUUGAUGGUUUGACCCAACAUUUCACUGAUAGAAACAACAUUUCCUUCAUUGUUCCACUUCUUCUCUUCCAUUGCAAAGUGCCCAUUCACUGAUAGAACCAGACAUUUCCUUUUAAUUCACUCGCUUCUCUUUUUAUAAACAUACCAUCUUCCAUUAUUUUGUGGGUAUCUCUUGUUUCCGUGUCUAAAUUCAGCUUUCUUCAAAUUUCUGGUUCUCACCAGUCACCUACCGUCCCACCGCUUCACCCACCGCCUCACUCCCUCCCUCACGGCCUCACCCACAGCUUCAGCGACACACUCACCCACAACUUACAAAUCACAGGUUCACAGAGUCAAAGAGGCUUUACCUCUCAGAGAGAAAGAGACUUGCGUGUUGAAGAGAAGGGAGCAAGCCAGCAAUCGAUCAACAUAGGUUACAGAGCGACAGAGGUCAAGGAAGCAAGCAAUGAAGCAAUCAAUGGAGAGUGAAGAGCAGCAAUCAUCGAUUGAUUAGGGAUUUAGGGUUCUUUUUCCCCCUUUCCUUUUCUGAAGUGUAUUGCUUUCAAAUUUUGGCUAAUCUCUCUUCUUGUUUUUUGGCCCAGAAGCCUACCUGGUCCAAAGAAAAAAUAAAUUUUUUUUCUUGGAGCCCAGGCAUAGGCCCGACCAAGCCAGGCGGUGGUUCCGCCUCUGCUUAUGUGGCUAAUUUUUUUACACAGUCAUCAAUUCCACGUGUAUUUUUUGUAUUUCUUUUAUGCCAACUGUGUUAAUCAAUUUUAAUUAACAACUAAAUCUCAAAAUCAAUCCCUAACGAUCCCUAAUCUAAUUAAUCCCUAACUCUAUCAGAGUCAAAAUAAUAAAAAUUCCAAAAUAGCAUUUCCUUUCUAAAAAAAUUAUUCAUCUGCAGAUAAAAAAAAUGGCCAAAAAAAAUAGUUAUUCAUCUAGCUUCUUCAUCUUCAACACAACACCACCGCCAGACCACCAUCCCCAACCACCACCGCCGAACCAACAUCCCCAACCACCAAUUUGUUCAAAGCGAAGCUCAAAGAUGACAAAAAAGUGAAAGGUGCAAGCUUUUCAACCCAGAUCGGAUGAAAAAGCUUGAAGAGUUAGAACCCACAUUAAAGCUCAACAGAACCAAAAACCCAUAUCUCAGAACCAAAAACCCAAAUGCUCGACCCCAAAACUCAGUCGCAGAGGUUGGUGGUGAAGCAGCUCGGAGGUUGGUGGAAAAAGAGGGAUGUCGUGAUGAUGAUGAAACGAUGAUGAAGGGCGAUGAUGAUGAAGGGAGAUGAAGAUGAUGAUGAAAGCAAAUCUGGCUUUCGUGAGGAGGAUGAUGAAACAAUGAUGAAGGGCGAUGAAAGAGUUAUUUGUGAGCGUGAAUGGGUGAUGAAGAAACAGUGGUGGAGAUUGAUUUUCUGAAGAUAAGGGUUGGGUUUGUUGUGGUUUAAUUUAGGGUUUGGAUUAGAUAAUUAAUUGAUUAAUCCAUGUGUAAUAAAAGAAAAUUAUAAAAGCCACGUGGAAUUAAUGACUGUGCAAAAAAAUAGAGCCACCUAAGUUGUUAACACGCGUAGGGGCCUAUUUCGAUUAAAAACAAUUUCCCAGGGACUCGGAAUCGGGAAAAAAAUUUCAAGGACUUAUUUUCGUACGAGUACAAUUUCAGGGACCUCUAGAGUAUUUAAACCUUAUAUUUUUGAAGCUUAUAUGCUGAAUAUUUUUGAAAAUAGUAUCUUAAUAUUAUAUUUCACACACUAUCUCACUUUGUAAAUGUAACACACUACACCAAAAUGCGCUAUUUAGCGGCGGUUGAAGUUGUUAAUAGCGGCGGUUUGAACCUCCGCAAAAAACUUCCUGUCGGUUGUCCAACCGUCACUGUUUCUUGCGCCGCGAGUCAUCCUAACAUCGGUUUUCAGCAACCGCCGGAAUAACCGCCGCUAUAUUCUAGCGGCGGUUUAAACCGCUGCGAAGUGACAAUUAGAACUCAACACCGGUUUUAACACAAAACGCCAGUAAUCUAACAACGGUUAUGCAACCGACGCAAAGUUUAUAGUUUAGUGGCGAUUAUAUGUAACCGCCGCUAAAUCCUGUAUUUUCUAGUUGUGACAUUGAAAAUUAUCUUAAUUCACGCCGGUUCUAAAUCUAUUAACCUAAUAUUAUAUUCAAUUUUAGUCCUUCAUUCAAAAUGGCAAUAUUCAAAAACUAAAUAUAAGUCAAUUCUAUGUUCUUGAUAGUUAAAUAACUAUAUAUUAUCAUGGUUGAUGUUUUGCUUACCAUGAGAAAUUCAAUUGAACUUCUUCCAUUCUUAACUUCCUCAACCAUUCUAACAACUUCUUCCAUUCUAGGGCUUGACCCAUCUGUACAUUUACGCACAAUCCGACGCAUAAGAUCCAAUUGGACUUCAUAAAUGUCUGCUAGCUCUACAUCAAAUAACUCAAGUAGCUCCUGUGACGUAAACAUUAAAAAACUUUCAUAAGCCAAACUAUACGGAAAAGUUCUAACCAGACAUCAGAGCCCUGAGUGAUAUGCCUGGAAUUAGUAACUUAUGGAGCUUUAGACAUAAAAGAAGAUGAUGAGGCAUUCGUUUGAGAAGUCAAUCUAACAUCAGAGAUGCAGGCAUCAUCAAGAUUUUGUGUGAAGAAAACAUUGGUUGACUUUAAGUUGCCAUGUGUAAAAUUUGGACCCCCCUUAGAAUGAAUGAAAGCAAUUCCCUUGGCAACUCCAAGUGCAAUGUUCACUUUUGAAUUCCAAUCUAAUAAUCGAGUAUUUUUCUCAGCCUUAUUGCCUACAGUUUGGAAUAGAAGAAUUAGGCAAAGAUAAAACAUUACUAAAAUUGGCAUUCAUGAAUUAAUUUAUAUGCAAUAUGGAGCAAUGAGUCAGUCAACUUAGAACGUACCACGUAAAUAGGAAAAUAAGCUGCCUCUUGGUAUGUAGGUUGAAGUUUCGAGGAAGAAGGAAAGAAAAGACAUUGUGCUCAAGCUUUCUUUGCAUAGCGAAUAACCCACUUGAAAAGAUUAUCAUGUUACGAUGCAUAAUGAUUUAUCGAGACAAUGUUUCAUGGCGAGGAAAGAUCUCUAAAAUAAUAGUGUAUUUGUACUUCUGCAGUUAGUAUUAAUCUUGACAUGUAAUUAAAAAGAAAAAGAUAGAUGAAAACAUUUUUCGGAGAAAAAAAUAUAAAUAAAGGGACAAGUCAUGAAAUGUUCAUAAUAUCUUUUUGAGAAAGUUGAGACGUUUACAACCUUGUGUUAAUAUAUUCAUGCACCAUUGCUCUACUUGAUGAAAUAUCCAAAGACAUUUCGGUCAGGCGUGACUCUUCCAAAUUAAUCCAUAGAGAUCAAACUGUGGACAAUGCUAACAUAAGGGCAGUACCUUAUAUUGAGGUUGAAUAUAAAACUUGGGAAACAUUAGCCAAUUGCCAUGAAUAGUUAAUGAUGUACUGAUUCAAAGAAAUUGCAUAGUAUCAAUAUUUCCAUGUGAGUCAACACUAAAUCAUGACAGUUUCCUUGUAGAGACGCCCAAUCUCAUCCCCACAGAAACCAAGGUCUCCAGCGGUCUGGUGCUAUUUAUUAGAAGGUCUUGAUCAAUUGUAAUUGAAUUCUGUAAGAACAAAAGAAAACAGAUGUCACUGCAUACGCAUGAACUAUGGGGGCCCUAUAGAUAGAUCAUACCAAAAAUAUAAAUCAAGGUCAGUGAAAUUCGGAAUCAGGACCAACAAAAUAAAUUUCAAACAUAAAUGACAGUGCUUCCACCAAAUGAGAAAUAUCCGAACUGUUAGCAAACACAUGCCAAUUAGAAACAAAUACAACAUAUAAGAUUGGAAAAACUGUAAUCAACUAUAACUUGUCCAAACCUCAUCUCCCUUCUUGACAUGAUCGCCCUUUUUCUUCGUAAAAUUAAUGCUACCAACCAUUGUAGCUCCUAUUGCAACAAAUGCUACCUGAUUCCACAUCAUAGAAAACUCUCUAAGAUACAAAUAAAAUACAGGCAUGCAGCGAUAAGAUGAAUUGAAGUGGAGCCAGUGAACUCUGAAAACAUUUCAGGAAUAUAGCAAACCUCAUAACAAUGGCAAGAAUGCAAGAGGUACAAGAGCAUUAAUAAAAAAUAAAAUGCAUAAAUGGUUUAUAUGCCACUAAUAAAUAAAUAGGAAUAAAACUAAACCCGUGCAUUCGGGCAAAGAAGUUAAUUGCAAGACAAACCUUUCCAAAAUCUACAGUUGAAAUUAUUGAAACAACUCGCUUAUUCUCCGUGAAGACAUUACAAUACUUGCUAUUAACAGCAAUGGGAUUGACCUAUAUGAAGAAUAGAAACACAUCAGAAAAGUUGCAAAUGGGAAUUGACACAGAAAACAGACCCAUAAUAUAUAAAUAAAAUAUCAUUUUGCUGGAGUUAUUAUUUCACAUACUGUAUAUAGGCAUCCGGGAUAUCUACAAAUUGCUCAAUAAUUCCUGAUACUGGCACAUGGAAACGGUGAUAAUCCUGCAAUAAAUCAAUGUUAAAAUCAAAAUUUGCAAAGCAAACUAACACAAAAUUAAAGUGACUUUGAAAGAAAGCAACAAAUACCUGCGGUGCCAAGCGGAAAAUAACCAUUGUUCCAUCAACAAAAGCACUGGAACUCAAAACUUCUUUCCCCAAAAGGCCUUGAAGGGAAAACUUUUGACCCUAAAGUACAAAUAUAAUCCAAAAAGCACUUCAUUUGGCAUUAAAAAGCUUAAAAGAUUAAAGGACAAAGAAUGAGAGCUAUCCCAAUUUUUAAGGGAAUUUAAUUUUCCUUGCCACUAGCUGCCACCAGUUUCAAUAAUUUGGCAUUGCUUCUAUUCGAAAAUGUUUGUUGUUUAAGGUUAUGCACGAAGAGUAAGAUGUUAUUUAUUGAUAUAUAGCUUGACUGAAACAACCUUGUUUAUACUUACAUAUAUAAUUUAUUUUUAUCCAGAUUUUCACAACUAACCCACUCAUUAGUAGAAAGAGAAGAAUGGUUAUUGGUCUAAAUAAAAGGUGAUAGGUGAGACAAAAUUUAUUAAAUGAUGGUAUAAAUAGAAAAGUAUGGGAUAAAAUAUUUUGAAUUUCUAAAACAACAAAUAUUUGGAAAAUUUGAAAAAUGCUAAAACAACAAACAAUGGAACAAAGGUAAUAUUACAAGACAUCUUGGAAGAAAAAAAAGAGAUGAAAAACAUAUAAUGUCAAGAAAAAGCAGUAGUAGAAACAACAGUAGAAAUAGUACCUCAAACAGUUGGGUCUUUUCAUAACUACAAAUUGUUUAAGCGACUAAAUCGUUCUAAGGAGUUAUAUCUCAAGCUGGAUUUCAUGCAAAGCUAGAGUAUGAAGAAAAAUAAUCUCAGAUUUACUCUCAUAUAAGUAAAACCAUAUCCUCCCCAAAGCCUCUGUCCUAAUUUACAGGUGACUCAAGCAGGCCCAAGUUCAAUAUGUAAAAUCAUAAUGUAAUUAUUUUCAUUUAAUUUCAAGCUGGAAAACUUCAUUUUAUAUCAGAAAUCAACAAUUACUAGCACUUAUGAAAUGAGAAUAUCUAAAUAUUAAAAAGAAAAUGAAUUCUUGGGACAAGAAAAUUCCAAGUGCAAGAGAUGUAAAAGAAAUACCUUAAUCCAAAAUCUUGUGCUAUCAUCAACUGAUUUAAAUGCUGUAAGACGGCAAUCAGCAGCACACACAGCAAUGUCGUCACGUUCAGCAAAAGCAAUUGGCCUUGAACCAGGCUUUAACUCUCUAAUGAAAAAUUCAUUGAAUGUCUGCCCAGAACAUAAUUAAAGAUAUGUGUCAUCUAACAAGAUAACUACUAUCGUUAUGAAGUCCAACACAGUUUUCAUUACGAGUAUUGCUCGGUAAUUUUGUUCAACUUCACUCAGCUGCUUGUGAAAACAAUAUCGCUAGCUCAAUGGAAAACAAAUUCUUUCAGUUUUCCGUGUUCAACAGGGAUCGAUAGAGAAGAUAUAUUCAACUAGAAGGCACAAUGGAUUCUAUGAUAACAUAGUAAAAAACAAGAAGUAGCGGAAGCGGACAGCGCAGAGCUAAAUAGAGCUAAAUACAUGCAUAUGUAUGAAAACUAGAGAAAAGCAUUGAAAUUCUUGGAUCAUGAUAGGCUGGACAAAAGCUAAAACCAAAUGGUAGUCCACUAUGAAAUAAGCAAUGAGAAAUAUAGGACACUACAAAGGUCUCAAGCACAUGGAUUAUGGCUAAAAGAUUUCAGAAACAACUGAAGUAAGAUAACAUAAUAAAUGCUAUAUUAUAAUUGUAAAGCAUACUGUAUCAGCAAUGAAAGCCGUUAACAACAGGAAUGUUUUAGGUGCAACUGAAAUGAUCAUCAGAUUAUUUUCAAGAAUAGGCACCAAGUAAGCUAUGUUGUUAAUUAAGCAUUGACUAGCUUUUAAACACUGGAGGAAAGUUAAGGUUUGUAGAAAAAAUUAAGCACUAGAUAAUGUUAAUUAAAUUAAGACCCAAAACUGUAUGCAUAUGAUGAGACGCCAUUACUUUAACUUUUUAGCAUAAUCAAAUUGAACCUGCAAUGUAACCUAAAUAAUUAACAGGAUGGAAAAUAAAGUGUUCAGUCUUCACAAAGUCUUGCCCCACCUUAAAGUGUUCCAGUGGAUACUUGCAUUCUGCCAAAUUGAGUUGAUCCUACAACACAAUAGUCAUAAGAAGGUAUUAUAGGCACACAUUCACAAGUCCAGCAGAUUUAAACAUCAAAAAUAAAAAUAGAUGUGAUAGGAAAAAGAAUAACACCUGACUCUAUUUUGCAGAUUAAACAAUAAAACUAUUUCAACUCUUCAUUUUCCUCCAGUAUCUAAUUGGACACACACACACACACCCCUAUGUACAUACAUAUAUGUAUAGAUUGUAGACACACGAACAGAGUUAGAACACUGCUACGAGUAGGUUUUAACUCAAGCAUGUUGAUUAUUGAAGGGAAACUAUGUCCUUUCAUUUUAAACUACAGAAUAAUUUUGCAAGAUCUAAAUAAGUUCCUACAAUGCCAGUGUACCCCGCACCUGAAGGGUGCUUUAGUUCCUCCUACAUAUCAUUUUCUUGAUAAAAAUUUGUGCGUUGAAAGGACAUAGUUAGCUGCGGGAUGUCAGCUAAAAUAACAUUUAGCUAGGGAUGUCAGCUAACAUAUCACAGGACAUAUCAUUUCCUCCUACAUAUCAGCUAACUAAUUUGUGAGUAAGGAACAAAAAGUUAGCUGCGGGAUGUCUAUAAACACAUAUAAUGAGAAUUGUUUUUAUACAAAAUGAAAUAUUAGGUAAGAUUGGAAAAAUACAAGAGAUUAUAAGAUAUCUUCCAAAAGAAACCAAACACCAAAACAAAAGCCACAAUAGUGAAGUGAAAUUGUGGUUCAAACUCACAAUCAACUUAGACUUCUGUGAUAUGUCAAAAUCAAAUGGUGCUAUCCACAAAGAACUGAAAGAAGCAUUAUCAUACCUUGAAAGAUUCAAUAAAAUUUGGUAUAUCAGCAGCCGAUUCAGGUGAAUCCAUUCGCGCUCCCUGCUUUUCAGAAAUAUUUUGCAAGAGCUCCUUCACCCCUGCAUAUAAAUGGUUCACCAAUUUAAGGUAAAUGAACAAAGUAACUCAACGCAGAAGGAAAAUUCUUAUUCAAAUCCUAUUUAAAUCUCACAUUGAUGUCAGAGUGGUGACUGGUUAAUUUACACAUGUAUGUAACCUAUAAUUUCUUUCAACAAUUUAAAAAAGAAGGGGGGAAACCCUCAUACCUAAUUUCCUGAAAUUCUCUUAAGGAUAUCUCUAAUUCUCUACUUUGAUGAAAUUGUUAAGCCAAUACAAUUUGUAUUGUCGAGACUUUAAAAAAUGGUAUGUGUGACCAAUGUUGAUAGUUGGUAAUAGCAUUAAAAGGCUGCCACCAUUGAUAAGCUUGGAAGCUCUUAGAAUUUGGGUUUAGGCCUAGCUUAGGGGUGACGAUUGCUCUACCCUAUAUAAGGACUAUUUUGGUGAUAUCUCUAGUCAAUGUGAGACUUCUCAACACACACCCUCACGCCUAUGGCUGAACAUCUGGAGCGUAGAAUUUGCAGGAAUUAACAUCUGCGGGUGACUCAUAUAUGGGUGCUCUCCACCAAAUGAUCUAGGAGAGGCUGUGAUACCAUCUUAGAAUUUGGGUUUAGGCCUAACUCUACCCCAAAAUCUAGCUUUGUUGUGCGGAUUGCUCUACCCUACAUAAAGACUAUUUUGGCCAUAUCUCUAGUCAAUGUGGAACAUAUCAAGAUAAACCUUUAUCCUAAUUUUGGUGGAUGUGAUUAGGCAAACUCAUUUAUUAGCAAAGGAGAGAAGGAAAUUCAAAGAGGUCCUGUACAUCCUGAUGUAACUUAUAACGUUUAUAAAUGUACAAUGUAUCACAUAAAUGAAAUCAGUUAAAGAAAAGAAACAACGGAAAAGAUACAAAAAAAUUCCAUACCAGAAUAUGGGAAGUACUUGAUCCAGAUCGAAGACCAACUUCAUAGGAUUGGAAAUGGGCCCAUUCACUCAGUUUCAAGAACCACUUAUAAUGAGGGGAAAAUAAAGUGCCUUUAUUUUCUAGGGAUAUGCAAUCAUAUAUACAGAACCGUAGACCAUAUAUAUGGCACUAAAAAAUUGUGCUGUAUAAUCCAUUAGGUCAACAAAGAUCAUACUUUACUAGUUCCUGUCUCUUAAUGCUUAAACUAGCAGUAAAUUGCAAAAUUUUACCCAUAAGAAGCCUGGUUAUCUGUUAAGAAUCCUCCAGUCAUCACCUGGUUUCCGGUCCCUUCAUCAAAACAAAGAGUUAAGUGGAUCAUGCUGUUCAACUGGUUAGAAAUUUGAAGAACCUCGCCACAAACAGGGAAGCAAUUCAAUAAUGGUUCCCUGCAAUACCAGAAGCUAGAUAAGCAAAUAAGAAUCAAAGAAAUGCAACCAAACAACAGUUUUCAAAACGAAAUUCCUACUUCUAGUCAAACUUCAUCAAAUCUUAAAAAUGAUAUAGCAGUACAAAUGAAAUUAGUUAAAUAUACAUGGGUAUAUACAUACAUAAAUAUACAUGGGUAUAUACAUAUAUAUAUAUAUAUAUCCACCAAUAGUAAAAGACAACAAUAGGAAUGAAAAAAAUAAGGCUUUGUCUCUUGUAAUCUAGAUGGGUCAUUACUUUUCUUGUUGAAAAGCAAGAAGGGCAGCCAAUUCAUCCAUGCUCACAACACCAUCUCCAUUCUUGUCAGCUGCUUUGAACAGCUCCUCUUUCUAUUGAAAAAGAAUUUUUUUGCUGAGACUAAAACUUGAAUGUAGAAAACUAGACAUUAUUGAUUAUAUUGCAAAUUUAUAACUUCAUUUCAUGAUUUGCAGGGAAAAGAUUCAUUAUUUACAGUCACUUUCUAAUGUCAAAAUUCAAGGUUCUAAAUUCUAAUAUUCAAGAUGGUAUAACUUCAUAUAAACCAUGAAAUCUGAAAAUAGGAGAUUAAAAAAUCUAAAUCAAAGUCCAAAUCCAAAUCUAGGUAUACAAGUAAAAUAAUGAUAAUGUAGCAUGCAAAACAAAAAAGUAAUAGGAAACUAUCAUGCUCAAAAUAACUACUCAAGUCUGCACCUUGUUGGUAGCUAACUGAUUGCCAAAAGCAUCAAUUAGGUCAGAAAAUUCAGAAAGUGAAAGCAUCCCAUCUUCAUUGUAGUCCUGCAUAAGACAACCUGAGCUCAAUAAUAACUAAUAGAGGGCGCUAAAUAAAAUCACUAUAUUCAAAUUAUCAAGAAAUUAUUUGGAAUAUUCUAUUGGUCACAGAUUUCAAAUGCUCUUCUAUUUAUUCAACUUAAAUAAACUACCUUUCAAAUUUCAAGAGCCUCCAAUAGAGAAAGGAAACUGGAAUAAUUACUCAUUAAUGUAUCUAUAAGUAGUACAUAUAACAUGUUGAAAUGUAUGUUAAUAUCAGAAUAAAGUCUCAGCAACAAUCCAUGGUGCAAUAUUGGUUCAACAUCAGUACCCUCAUGUACAUGGGUGACAGGGUGAGAUUAUAUUUAUAAAUCAUCUCUUCUUGUGCUACCCUCAUGUCAUUGAUAUAAUCCACACUAGACAUAGGUUAUCAGAAUAUAGAGAAAGAUCGAACUUACCACGAUAGAUAAAAUACGUCUAAUAAAGCCUUUCUCUGUUUCAAUUGGAUCCUGAAAGUUUUAACUUGUAAUUGUUAGAACCUAGCAAUCCAUCAUGCUAUGCCAUAUACCUCUACAGAGCAUGAAAUGGAUAUGUUCCCAACCACUUUUCCAGGAGCUGAUGGAUCUAAAAGGUCAAAGACUUCAGUGUCAGAAUCAGAAUCCUGCACCAUCAUCAUAAUUCAUAACAAAAGUGUGUAAAAUGAACAAUGCUGAAAGUUCACAGAAGAAGCCAAUAAAUCAACAACUUGAACAUAUGUAAUAUAAAAAAGGUAACUAAUAAAGAAAAAAGGAAGGAAAGAAAGAAUGUUUAACCUUGCAAUUGGAUCCUAACAGAAUGUUUCCUCACCUGGGUCAGAAAUUCAAACAGAUCAACCUCACAGCAUCCGACAAGCGUAUUGCGGGAUAGUUUGUUGGUCUGCAUGAGAAAAAAUAUUGAACUUAGAUGCAAUGUCAAACUUAAAUUAUUAAGAAAAUAUGGGGUUGGGGGGGGGGGGAUUAUAACAGUUCAACAACUUUAGUUCUACAUCAUAUGCAGGUUUUCCCUUUCUAGUACAUAGCGGGUGUUGAUAACUGCGUGAUUUUAGUUUAAGCUAGUCCCAGACUCUCAGUAGCUUUAUAUUAUACCCGAUUAUUGAUUCAUGUGAUUUUAUUCAAACAUGCUAAUAGAGUACAAACCCCCCUACUUUUGAAAUGCAGCACAACCCAAUAGCUUAUGAUUUCAAGCUUUGCUUUAUAUUUGCACGAAGGCAUUAUCUCACUUGGACUCCCCCUUCCCUCCCUCCAGUACAAUGCAUAAUCAAAGAAAAGAUUAGGUUCUUAAUUCCUAUAGGCUAGCUCACCUCAAAAUACAGAAAUUCUUGCAACAUGGGGCCCAUUCUGUUCCAACAGAAGUUUCUUUUCCUGUGGAAGAAAGUAUCAGUCACAUAAGAGAAACACUGUCCUGUUAUUCACUCGAUCAUCCGCUCAUACAUCACGAAGAAACAGGUAAAUGAUCAAACAUAAAAUAUCAGAGCUGAACUUGAGUAACCUAAGAUCACUCCUACAAACAAAUGAUAAUUUACCCCCUCACGAAACUAAUUCUUAGCGCGGCUCCUUAACAAAUACAUAUCACUAAGUUCAAGUUAUCACUUUAAAGCAAAAUCAUCUGAACUCACAUUACUAGAUCUCUACAAAAAAUGGAAAGCCAUAAAAGCAUAUUGAAUUAUGUGGCAUUAACUGUAGAGAAUUUAUAUUGAAUUACGAAUGGAGCAAGUACAAUUCAGUUUCAGAAUCCUAAUGAAAAUGACGAGAUAGCUUAUACUCAUAGAUCAGAGAGUAGUAAAGAACUCACAGAAUUCCAAAUUGGUUUAUUGGUUCUGCAACACAAAGAAAACAAAAUCAAUAGAUGAAGAAAACGUAAAAGGAAGCAGGAAUGAAUGAAUGAACUGAACUGUUAAGAGCUUUUUGUUCGGAAAGUCUGUUCUCCGAGAGUAAGGCACGCAAUCCAUUUAUCCUUGAACUGCAUCGCCGCCUACAACAAUCAAACGGAGAACAAUCAGUUACCGCGUAAUGGAGAAGCAGAGUUAGAGAGAGAGGAUUGGCGUGUGUGUACGUGAAGGAGGGUGAGGAGAGCGAUUCCAGCGAAGUUGUCAUCGGAGAGAAGUUUGAGAGCGGAGGCGUUGAUAGGGCUUCUGGAACGACGGUGAAGGUUGUCGUCUCAUUCUUGUCGGACCAAAGGCCCCUCUUCCGCCGCAUCUCAUCUUAUAUCACGGAUUUGGGUUCGUGUGCAUUUGCCGGAACAAUAGUUUAAAACUCAAAAAUGCAUUCCCUCAUCCUCACUUCAUCUUCUUCUUCCCCUAGAAUCCCACACUUUCAAACUCUAAUCACCCUCAUGAUGAAAGACUCAAAAUUUUGGCGAAUUUAAAUCAGUUUUAGUCCUUCAAACUCUCGUCACCCUCACAUUUAAAGAAUCAUUCAAGCAACUUUUUAAUUAAUGAGUCAAACUUACUUUUAAAAAUAAUGUGAAAUCCGGUCAACAAAUGUAUGUUUGUAUAAACUUUGGGGGAAUAUAAAUCAGCUUUUACUAAAUGUAACCCCACACAUCGGUUGAAUUUUAUUUCUCGAAAUAGGUGCAUUAGCCCUCUCACCAAGGGAGAAAAAAUGAUAGGGUCGUUACUCUGGGAUUUGAAGGACAUUUAGUUGGUGCAAACAAUUCCACGAAUACAUACGUCAAGUGAUGUAUGCAAAUAAAUGUCACAAUUUUUGGCUAAAAAAUCAUAUGAACAACUAGUUAUUUGAUGCUAAAAUAUGAAAUGCUAAACUUUGAUCCUUCCUAGUAAAUUUUUAGAACAGUAUUACUAGCAGUAACAACACUGACACAUGCAUCGCCAUGGAAUGAAAUUUUUCUAGGAAAAACCCAUCCUCAUCUAAAGGUAAAGUCUCC